Molecule: long non-coding RNA, 50329 nt
Filed under: Elaeis guineensis (African oil palm)
Lineage: Eukaryota; Viridiplantae; Streptophyta; Magnoliopsida; Arecales; Arecaceae
Description: long non-coding RNA (EGUI_LNC022632)
Source: RNAcentral
GCCUCCAACCUGGUACAAAGUCGAACAUAUAGCAGUGAAAAAACCAGAGCUUCCUUAUGGUGUAUCAGAACUGAGGCGGUAUGAUGGACCUCAGUGCUUCAUCAUUCCUGGCAACCAUGGUUGGUAGUUACCAUACGAAGUUUCUUCAACGAAUUAUAGAAAUAAAUAUUAGGAUACUUCUUGACAUAGUUAGCUUUUAUUUUUGAAAUACAGUUAUAUUAAUACUGGGUAUUCAUUUUGUAUAUUUCAAGGAUAAGGAUAUACUCUAAUCAGUAUCUUUCACAGACUGGUUCGAUGGGCUUAACACAUUUAUGAGGUACAUAUGUCAUAAGAGCUGGUUGGGUGGGUGGUUUCUGCCUCAAAAGAAGAGCUACUUUGCUUUGCAACUUCCAAAAGGAUGGUGGAUAUUUGGUCUUGAUCAGGCUCUCCAUGGUGACAUUGAUGUGUACCAAUUUAAAUUUUUUUCAGAACUAUGUCAAUACAAGGUAUAUCUUGCUUUUUUUGUCCACUUCAUCAUGCUUUGCUGAGCUGAUAAUGCAUUUUUGUUAUGUUUGAGUGCUUACUGCCCUGUACCAUAUGGUACUGUACCAUACCAGAACCAAACCAAGACUUAGUACAAGGGGCAUCCUGAGCCUCAAUAUACUAGGACUUGGUGCUGGGAUGCCGAGUCUCAAUAUACUAAAACUUGGUGCAGGGAUAUUGAGUCUCAAUAUGCUAAACCGACCCCAUACUGGGUGUAUUGGCACUUACAGGCAUGGUACUAGUAUAGGGUCCAAUACCAAUACUGCAAAUAUAUGUUUUUUUGUUGAUCAUGGCUAGUACACUAACAUGAGAUGGAAUUUGGAAGUCUUUGAUAUAUAUAUAUAUAUAUAUAUANNNNNNNNNNNNNNNNNNNNNNNNNNNNNNNNNNNNNNNNNNNNNNNNNNNNNNNNNNNNNNNNNNNNNNNNNNNNNNNNNNNNNNNNNNNNNNNNNNNNNNNNNNNNNNNNNNNNNNNNNNNNNNNNNNNNNNNNNNNNNNNNNNNNNNNNNNNNNNNNNNNNNNNNNNNNNNNNNNNNNNNNNNNNNNNNNNNNNNNNNNNNNNNNNNNNNNNNNNNNNNNNNNNNNNNNNNNNNNNNNNNNNNNNNNNNNNNNNNNNNNNNNNNNNNNNNNNNNNNNNNNNNNNNNNNNNNNNNNNNNNNNNNNNNNNNNNNNNNNNNNNNNNNNNNNNNNNNNNNNNNNNNNNNNNNNNNNNNNNNNNNNNNNNNNNNNNNNNNNNNNNNNNNNNNNNNNNNNNNNNNNNNNNNNNNNNNUAUAUAUAUAUAUAUAUAUAUAUAUAUAUAUUCCAGAACAUAAAUUCCAGGUGAUGUGGUAGCUUUGGUGGGUGUCUGUUUCCUACUAUCUUGAGCGAAAACGUAAGUUUGAGUAAUACAGUAAUUUUACAGGCAAAACAAUGCUGGCCUUGUCCUGUAGAACAGUCUAAAUGGGUCUCUGGUUGGGUGUCUGUUUACCUGUCCAGGUAGACUACACUGUCAAUUUUUUAGCAAAACAUUACAGAAAUCUUAUUUUUCUGGUGUAUGUCUCCGCUUGAAAAGAACAAGGAAAAAAUAGAAGUCCUGCAUUAGUUUUUAGAGCUUAUAACAUAGGCUGAAAUGAGCUGCACAAUUAUAGCAUUUAUUCACAAUUAUAUAUUUGCUGCACCAUUAAUUGAUUUUUGAAAAUAAAAAGUUUUGAGCUGGUGGAAGAUAAAUAUCCAACUUUGAAAAAAGCCAAUGAAUUCAAUCUUUCGAAAAAUUAUGUGGCAAAGCCAAUAUCAAUUUCAUUUAGCAAUGAAAACUGAAUUUUGCAUGAGACACGACUGCAUUGAGAGAUCAUCAAUAUGAGGAAUAGAGCUUGAAAAGAAAAUGUCAUGUUCAUGACAAAAUAACUGGUCAAACAUAGCAGUUUAGUGCUUCGUGUUCAACAAUAUGAAUCCCUGUCAUUCAUUGAAACAAGGUAUUUCCUCUUUUAGAGGUCCAAAGUAUUUCUUGGUACUCAAAAACAUAUCCUCAAUGGUAACAGUUGAUCAUUUAUGUAUCUUGCGUAGAGAAUCUGAAUAGGCAAAAUGACAACCAGAUAUAAGCUUGGUUGCUUCAAAAUGUUAGACUACAGGGUGAUGCAUGGGUUGACAAAUUUGAUGGACAAUCAGUGGUUGUCUAAUAUGUAAGAAAUCUAUGGGGGAAUUCAAUAGUGGCAUUGGAGAAUUAUAAACUAUUAUUUGGAAUAAAAGUCAAUUAGUUAGAAUUUAGCAGUCUUACCUACCAGUAUGAUUGUUCCCUCAUAUAUCUAGUUGAAAUGUAAUCAACUUGGAACAAAUUGUAGCUUUAAUCUUGUGGAAAACUCUGAAAGCUUUCUAAGUCCUUUAUGUCAAAAGCAAGUGUUAAUUGUCAGUAAGGGCGUGGGAAUCGGUGAUAACUUGCCGAAGUAGCGCUGCUCUUCUAUGAUAAGAAAUCAAAUGGCUGCUUGUAGUUAGUUAGAGUUUAAGAUUCAUGUUCAGAAAACUAUUAACAAGCCUACAGUUAACUUUAGUUGUCACUGGCAAAAAAGCAAGAAAAUACAUUUCGGGAUUGGUCUUUAGAUCAGCUACCUCUAUUGAACUUAUUAAGAGGGCUCAAAUCAGAAACUUCUUAAGGGACUGUUUGGUUUAUAAGAUUACUAAAUAAAAAUUAAGACACAACAAGAAAGAGUUAUACAAAAACAUUUGAUUGGUUGCUUUCCACAAAUUCUGUUUUGUGGCAUAAAACCUGAACAUGAGUUUUAUGAGGAAAGGUCUCGCCCUGUUUUUUGUAAAACCCAUUUUACAGAGAAUCAUGUUUUAUAAUCAUCUGCUGUAGAAAACUCACAUGCAACCAAACAGCUCCUAAGAUUGUGGUGAACUUUUGCCUUAAUAAGUGAUGCUUAGGUUGCUGAGGUUCUGCUGAUUUGUUGUUGAGACUAUUACAUGAUAGCAGGGGUGUGAAAUGGGACACAAGCUUUAAAUACAAUGAUGUAGAUGAGCAAUUGAAUUUCUGGUGGAUGGGAUUGAUAUUGUACAAUACUCACAUGAGGCUUUAAAUAUGCAACCAAGUUACUUAUGAAAUAGGAGCUAGGAAGAAGCAUGAAAAUAUGAAAUGCAUCAAGCCUCCAAUGUGGGCCUAAUAAAUGAACUCACAUAUUAAUUAUGUGAUCUUAGUGGUAUGCACACCACAAUAAAAGCAUAAAAAUAAUUUGAUGUGCGCUUGAUGUGUGGUAAUUUAAUGUGCAUCUGCUGUGCCUGGAGACCUGUGGACUCUGCAGUUGGCUACCGACUUUAGCAUGUUGAAUAAGGCAGGGUGUUUGGUCUAUCCCACAUGGUGGUGGCUACAGACUCGUUGCUCAUGAGCCUCAUUAAGCUUUGCCAAAUAAGGUGGGGUGUUUGGUCUAUCCAUAUGUUGCUCUCUUGUCUUUUCUUUUCUUCCUUUUCUGAGUGAUUCCCUUCUUCUUUUGUUAUCAUUUCAUUGUCUCAAUGAAAUGGCUAUGCAAGUUGUUGCACUGUUUUUCUCAAAAAAGAGAGAGAGAGAGAGAGAGAAGAGAGAGAGAGAAGCGACAUGCAUACAUACAUACAUGUAGGACUUACGCACAAUACUUAUUGAUAGUACAUGAACAUUUCUUUUGUUAUGUGUUUUGCAUUGGCUUGGAUGCUAGAAUAAUUUUCAGAAGCAUGUAUACUUAAGAGGAGCAAGUAUUAUCUAACUCAUCUAGUUCACUUGCCAAUCCUAUUGAUUAGUUUAAUUAGGUGUUGGUUGAUAUCCUUGGAUCAAGGAUUAAAGUCCUGGUACUGGUAUUUAUGUUGGUCUGGAACCGUGUUGUUAUGGUUUUACGAUGGAUCAUGGUACCAUUAGCAAUGAGAAUGAAGAGAGAAAAAUAAAAGCAAAUGCCCUGGGAUGCCAGAUCAUUCCCAGUUGAGGAAGAAAGAGGAAGAACAAGAAGGUCCAAUGAUAGGAGAAAAUAAUUAUCUAGAAAACUAAGGCUUUAUAGAUAAGCAAUUCAAUUAUCAGACAAAUACAAAAAUGAAAAAUGAACAGAAGGGAGCAGAAAGAAGAAAUGAGGGAUGGAUAAGAGGAGAAUUAAUAGAGAAAUAUCUAAGAAAGGAGACUUCUUUUGUAAAAGUCAUCAAAUGUACAACACAUGUACAACUCAAGAUUCCUGUGCCUUUUCACCUGGCAUGUUCAUGGGACUCAAAACUCUGGUAAGAAUUAAGAAUACAUUCCCAACAAAUUGCAUCCCCUAGGUAGUCUUGCUUUUUUCAUAGUUAGAAUGAUAUCGAUGAAAAUAACCUUAUAUUUGAAUGUUCUAAACACCUACUAAUCAUAUUUCAAAAAAAUAUAAACCAAACAUACAUGGAAAUCAGUAAAAAUCUAAUAUAUGCCACAUCUGAACCCUAAUUACAUUCAUCCAGGACUUGUUUACACUCGGAAAAAGGUUAAAUGAGGGAUGAAGGCUAUAUAUGACGUAUUGAGUGUGUCAAUCUCUGUGGCAGAAGUAAUAAGUAAGAUCGAUGUCUGAAGUGUCAAAAUUGGCAUCACAUUGGUACCUCACCUAUAGACUGAUGGUGUACCAUACCACUGCUAGGAAUCCUCGAUAUAUAAUCUUUCUCAGUAAAAUCUAGAGAACUUUUUAUAUAGUUUUAACCUUGCUAGGAAUGGUGACCUCUAAGGUGCAAAUAGGAGAAAUUAUUAUUAUAAUGUUUUGGUUGAUGGUUUACUCUUUUUACUGCCACUAUGAUAUGGAAGGUGUGGUUUCUUGAGUCCACAUUAUUUUGUAAGUUAUGUAGUUUUUCUUAUUUAUCAUGUUAACGUGUAAAUGAUAGUUAUCUGGAAAUUCGUUGCAUGGGAAAUUUAUUUUUUUAAAAAAAUCUAUGAUGGAAUGCUUUUUUCAUCAACAUUUUCCCUGUUAUAGUUUGGUUUUUAUGCUCAGUUACUUCAAUCUUAAAAAUGACACAAAUAACUACAGUCAAAUCUGUUGAUAUGACUGAUUUGCACUUUAUUCUAUCUCUUGUAAUAUUUAUUAAAAGUUUUCUUCUGAGAUGAGGAAUGAGAUUUCAUCCAAAAUGAUAUUUCCAAACCUUAACAAAUUUUCAAAAAGAUUUGCAGGUUGGAGAAAAUGACUCUGUCAUUGUCAUGACACAUGAACCAAGUUGGCUUCUUGAUUGGUACUGGAAUGACAACACUGGUAAAAAUGUUGCUCAUUUAAUACAUGAUUACCUGAAGGGAAGAUGCAAGCUUCGCAUGGCUGGGGAUUUGCACCAUUACAUGCGCCAUUCUUAUGUUCCAUCAGAUAAACCUGUUUAUGUACAACAUUUACUUGUGAAUGGCUGUGGUGGGGCAUUUUUACAUCCUACACAUGUCUUCAGAAAUUUCAACAAUUUUUAUGGAAAUUCAUAUGAGAGCAAGGCUACUUAUCCUUCUUAUGAUGAUUCUAGUAGGGUAAGAUGGAUUAUUUUCGCCUUCUUUUAGGCUUUAGCCUUGUUAACAUCAAGUAGGCUUGUUGGCUGUAGUCAUAGUCUUUUGCUCAUUUCAGCUGAUUGAUUAUUGCUUCCUAUAAAUUUUGUUAUAUUUCCUUUUCUUUCUCAGUGCUUUAUCUCAUGAAUUUUCUGGAAAAUAAACUUUUUUACAGAUUGCCUUGGGUAAUAUUUUGAAGUUUCGAAGGAAGAACUGGCAAUUUGACUUUAUAGGUGGAAUCAUAUACUUCAUAUUGGUGUUUUCUAUGUUUCCGCAGGUGAUUUAUAUAUUUAUAUAUUUUAAUUAUUCUAGUCUUUUUCCCUGUUAUACAUGACAUUACUAAAUUGUUCUUCCCAAAACUUUUGUCAUAUAUUAGGUGAACUUGGUUGACUGAAUUUAACCUGGCUAAGAGAUAUAAUUAAAAUGGCUGAAGAUAUCUGACAAUUUUGCCUCAAGUUUAAGAUUACAUAUCUCACUCAUAAGAAGCAGGAUUCUAUGACAUUAGUUGUUCUGAUUGUGAUUCUAUUAGAAAUUUAGAAUUGAUGUAGUUCUCUCUGAUGACACGAUACUGUUUAUAGCAUCAAUUUAUCAUGAUUUCUAAGUUGCUUGGCAAAAUGCUUUAUUCAGGAAGAGGUUGACAGAGCCCAAAAGGAUGAGUCUGAGUUUUACCUUCAGGAUGUCCUCUGCUGCCAGGUCAAUGGUAGUGUUAGCUUCAUAAAGUUCAAACAUUCUUUAUGCUAGAAUUUCAGGUGUAGCAUGUAAACGUAUCCAAAGCUCACCCAUAUGACUUGCUCAUGGGCGUGAAAGGCCAAAAACAGCGUGUUCUGUGGAGGAUGAAGGAUUGUGGUAGUGGUCAAGUUGAAGGGUCUAACUCAUGGGAAUGCAUAAGGAUACAUAGUUGAAUGUACUGAGAAAGAUUUGAGGAUACAAGAUGAUAGCAUCUUUAGUUAUAUUAAGUGGCAUUGUAAGGCUAGUGUAAUCUAGCUGAAAUAAAUGUAGAGGACUCACAGCUUAGGGCUGUAGUUAAUCAUUAUCACUCAUCGGGAGAUAUAAUGCACUUCCUAACUUUUGAAUGAAAUUUGUUUCGAGUUAUGAUAUAGAUCCAUGUGCAGGUGUGCAUAUGAUGCGCCCUAGUUAGAGAAUAAUUAAAAUAGACUUUUACACAAAAAAUUUGAAUGAUGUACAUUAGGAGAAACUAAGAGCUGGAAGUGGAAACAGUAGAAAUUUUAGAAGAUAGAUAUGCUUUUGUUGGAGUAGCGAAGAUAAUAUAUAUAUUCAAUUAAUUUAUAUUUCUGGACCAAGAAUAAGAACACUAAUAGGAUCCAACUGGUGGUUUAACCGACCACUGACUUUAGUAGAUAGACUAUAUGAGGUUUCUGUUUCUUAUGUUAUAUAAAACGACUAAUUCCUUCUAGUAACCGGAGGUGGCAAUUUGUGAUCCAACUUGCUAAUCUGACCUGCAAUUGACCUGCUUUAAUUGUGUUCAAGUUUGUCAUAAAUGGGUCCAGGUCAUAAACAGAUCGACUUGACCUGCCUCAUUUAUUAAAUAGGUUGAGUCUAGGCUUAAAGUCCUGAUAUCCAUUUAACCCAUUUUGACUCAUUUUNNNNNNNNNNNNNNNNNNNNNNNNNNNNNNNNNNNNNNNNNNNNNNNNNNNNNNNNNNNNNNNNNNNNNNNNNNNNNNNNNNNNNNNNNNNNNNNNNNNNNNNNNNNNNNNNNNNNNNNNNNNNNNNNNNNNNNNNNNNNNNNNNNNNNNNNNNNNNNNNNNNNNNNNNNNNNNNNNNNNNNNNNNNNNNNNNNNNNNNNNNNNNNNNNNNNNNNNNNNNNNNNNNNNNNNNNNNNNNNNNNNNNNNNNNNNNNNNNNNNNNNNNNNNNNNNNNNNNNUUUUGCGGGUCUGGCUAGUGGAUUGGUUUUGGUCCAACCAUGGAGCGAAUUUUGUUCAUGGUUGGCUAUUUAUCAUCCAUCUUGUGAGCUGAACUUGACCAAUGCAGCCCUAAGGUAGGUUUGCACAAAAGAGAGUAUGGAGUUCCUUUAGAAGGAAUUAUAAGUGCUUAAAAGGGAUUUUUUUGACACUGUAAAGGAAGAGAAAGAAGAUGAGAAUAGAAGAGAGCUGCUGGGCUGCCUAGAGGAAGAAAGCCUUUAUAUAUAUAUAUAUAUAUUCUAAGCUCCAAAACUGCAUUACAUAGGCUGUAGGCCCUUAUUGGCAAUAGAAAAAAAACCUCAACUAGGAUUUUCAGGCUUCAUAAUAUAGGCACCCUCAUUAUGCAUUAGUUAUUUUUUAUGAAAUCAUAAGAGUGAAUAGUAUAGUGAAUGAUGCUACAAUAUUAUACCUUAGCGCUCUAAUAACACUUGAAAUUUUUUAUUUCAGCCCUUUACUCAGAAAUACCAUGCCUUGGCCCUCAAGUAACACUUUGGAUGUAAGAGUAACUAAUGACUGUAAACAAGAGUUUUGUCUUCAGGACAUCCAAAAAGGCACUUAAAAAUGCAUCAAGUAAGCUUCUUCUUCCUUUUUUAUAAGUCUUAAAGGACCAAAUGAUGUAGGACGUUCCCAUGUAAUUCCUUUGUAUGUUAAACUAGGACUCUUGUUAAAAUCUUCCAUGGACCAUUUUAAGAUUGUCAAAAAUAAUAUUAUUGAGAAUAACAAAAGCCAUUAUCAAGGAGAUUAAGAAAAAGAAGACCGCAUUGUUGUAGGGAUAGGAAAAUUCACCCAAGAAAGGACAAUGCAAAUAGAAAUUAAACUAAAAUAGUUAGCUGAAUAACAGGAAAGAGAAAGAAGUAUCGCCAUCCUGAAUUCCGUUUGGUACCAAAAGGAAGAAAUGGAUGUUAACACCACUUUGAAAGGAGGCUGUUAGCAUACUGUUCUGUUCUAGGAUGCAUUGGGGGAGGGGUGCCAUCAUAAAGGUUGUAGAUUGAGAGGUGGCUGAGGGGAGGAGAAAAUGAGGUAGUUUGGAGGUUGGGAAGGGAAUGUUUUAAUACUGGUGAAGUGGAUGAAAUGUUGGGAGGAAGGGAAUCUAGAGGGUGGCACUUGCAAUGCUGUAUGGAGCAGUGCUGCCGCAGGCAGCGCUUGAUGGGUGUUAUGUGGGUCAUUGGCUUGAUGGCAUAGUGAGAAUUAGUAGUAGAGAGGUACAAAAGGGAGUGGAGGAAGAUGGAGAAGCGGAGAAGGUAAGAAGAGAAGAGGAAACUGGGUAAAAAGAGGUUUUGGAAAUCAGGAGAAUGAAGGGGAUAGGCAAAUGAGGUCACCGAUCCUCUCUACCUGCUGUCUUGUCUCUUUUAUUUGAUUGUUCCUUAAUGGUUUCUCAAAAUGUCAUUUCUACAUCAUUGUAUACCUGUAGUCUGACAGCAAGUUUUUGUUGAUAAUGCAAAUUGGUUACCCUAUGAAACUUAUGGAAAAGAUGAGACUAACCUGACACACUAUAUACUUGCCAUAGUGGUCAAUACUAUAGUUUUUAUUUUUUGUUUGUAGUUUUAUGUUAGAUAUUGUGAAAGAGUGUGACCUACUCCUGCGCUUGAAACUCAGGUAGAUUUAGCUCUGUCAGGUGCUUCUUUUCCAAUAAAAGCUGUAUUAAUCUUUCUGAAAUCUACAGUUCAAAUUUGAGUGCAUCUAUUUUCAUAGGGUAGUCCUUGAAAACUAUGCACAAUCGACAAAUUUUACUUGAUAGAUCUGGAAAUAUUUCUGGAAAAGUGGGUACUUAUUUUAGCUGCUUUCGAUUACAUAUGAUGUGUAUAUUCUUGAGGAACAUCCUACCUGUUGUUCUAACAACAAAAUUCAAGCAUUCAUCCACCUGUCACAAGUUAAAGUUCUGCAUGUAUGAUCAAUGAAUGGACUUUUACCAAACCAGGCUCUCAUGUUCAGCAUCACUUCCUAGUAUGUGAUAAGAAAAUAUGCGCAGUCACUUCAGUUCAAUUCGUUUGCACAUGCUCAUCCUCUAGUAUGACUGGUUGCUAUAAGUUUUGCAUUUGAUGUCUGGGAAGCAAUGAGAUAAAUGAAUAUUUCAUCGUACAUUGGGCUUUAGAAAAAAAUGGGUGUCGAUUUAAAUCAGCUUGAUAAGAAUAACUAACGUGAAGAUUGACUUUCUUGUGUUGCAAUGUUCAGUGUGAUGUCUUCUACAUUUUUCGUGAUGAUUCAUGGUCCGAUCGCUUCUGGAGAUUCGGUAGUACAAUGUGGAGUGCAUUUAUAUACAUGAUGGAGCACUCUUUUGUAUCUUUAACAGGCAUUAUAGUGUUGGUGAUGGCAGCAUAUUUGUUUGUUCCAACAAAAUUAUCACGGAAGAGGCGAGCUGUAAUUGGGGUUCUUCAUGUUUCGGCCCAUAUGACUGCAGCACUAAUUUUAAUGUUGCUAUUGGAAUUGGGUAUUGAGAUAUGUAUACGCAAUCGUCUACUAGCAACUUCAGGUGUUCUUCUUUUGUUUGAAUGUUUUUUCCCUUCAUGUUAUUCUUUAUACCCAUCAUGGAAUAUAGGAUUGUUUGCACAUGCAUUGUUGGUGUGCAAUUUUUUUAGUCUUAGUAUUUUUUUUUUCUCAGCUAAUUUUGAGUUUUUUUUCCUUAAUGUCAGGAGAAAUAAAUGUGUUCUGAUGCAUGCCAUGAGUUUUGACAGCUAAUUUAAUAUACUAGUAAAUAGUUUAGGUAGGCAUUGUGCUGGCAGCACUAGCUUUGCUGUGAUAUUAAUUAUCUCUAACAUUGAUGUGGGCUUAAGACUUAUAAAAGUACGUAAAAGGAAAAUUUGCUGGACUCCAAGUUUUGGUCAUUUUCACGAGUAUUGCUGGAAUCCAACAAUGUGACUGUCAAUAGCAGCUGGAAUACGUAAUAUGGUUCCCAAAUUACCGAUGGCUCCUCCUUUGCACUUAUAGCAGAUAGUCAAACUAGAAAUUUAAAUAACUAUGAGUGCCAAUCUUGAAGUGCUUUAGACUGGAUUCAAUUUUGUCCAAGUGUUCUAUUGAUGUCAAAUAUUGAAUGGAAGGACAAUUUAGUUUGCAUGAGCCAAACUAUAAGACAUUGACUUGUUGCAAGAGUAGCAAACAUCGAUCAAGUUGAAAAGUAACUGCUUAGAGAAGUAGAAAUGAAACUCCUUCAUGGCCAAUUCCUACUAAUAGAUUGCUCUCGGUGGUCAUGUAGUUGAUUCCAUUAUCUUCAAUAGAAAUGACCUCUUAAUAGUUUACAUUGAGAAGUUCUACAAAUUGGUUGCUAAAAUUGUUAACUAUGAGGUUUUAUGGGCCCCAAGUUUACAAUUAGAAUGCUUUAAUCAAACUAUCAUUUAUGAAAAUGGAGCCACUAUAGGUUUGUCUGGUGGAUUGAGAAAAAAGAUGAAUAGAAUGUUUCUGUUGGCUUAGAAACAUUCCAUCGAGCAUGUCAAUAUGGCUUAAAAGUAGGGGAGAUUGAUGGAUUUAAACAAAUUUGAUCAACUUUGGAUAUGGACCCUUAGCCUAGUGAGAACCCCAAGGUUUAAACAGAGGAGCAUUUGGGGACUUAUGCAGGUGUGUGUUUAGUCCCACAUUGGUUGGGUGUUGGGGAGAUCUUGAGUACUUAUGUAGCAUCAAGGAACUCAAAUAAUAACAUUUUGGCUAGCCUUUUUGGGUGAGGAUCUGGCCGCUACAAAUGGUAUAUUGUUGAGGAUAGUAAGAAAUUAAAAAAUUUGCUUUUGGGUUUAGCUUAAGAUAAAAAAUUGAAAAUUAUAUAUAUGCCAUAAUAAGGCAGCAGAACAAGUGAGAAAGGCAACAUGAAAUGAGUAGCAAGUUAUACAAUGUCAGGCUUGUCAAGGGCUAAUUUGACUGCUUUGCAAAUGCAAGGGGAGUUGGAGUUUGAGAAGCAUCAAGAUUUUAGGAAUCAGCUUGUCAAAGGAGUAGUGUGCUCAGGUUCUCAAACAUAUAAGCUCUCUCCUGGUAAAUAAUUGAUUGAAAAGUGAAAUAAGGAUAAGAGUCUAGGAAUGAGGUUUAUUGAACUCAAAUAAAGUUGCCUAGAUCACUGAGAGCUAUUUAUUUGGAUGCUGCAUUGAAAACUAUGCCAAAUAGUUUUUCUAAUAUGUAGCAACAUUGAAGAUACAUGAUGAGAAGAUUAGGGGAACUUCAAAUUCACUGGAUGAGCUUCAUGUUAGUAACCAACCUCACCAUAAAAAAGAAGUUAAAGACCAAGAGAGAAUUCAGCUUCUACAUUUUUUCUGUCAGCUUCAUAAUGAACAGGCAUGGAUUGUGGGUGAUGUCAAGAUGUGCUUCAGAAAUUUGGAUGUAGCAUUUCCUAGUGGAACUUCGCAAGAUUUACAGUAUUGUAACAAGGAUGAUUGUGUUGCAUGCAUUGAUUUUUUGGCAACAGAAGGCAUUGUGUGGGCACAAGAUAAGUGAAUUAGAGAUAAGGAUGCAUGGAUUUGUAAAAGAAAAAAGAAAAAAGUCUUAAAGGCAAACCCAUAAAAGAAUAAAAUCCGGAUAUUAAAGUUUUGAAUAAACUUUGGAGCAACAUUAUGGAGCAUUAAAUAGUGAAUUGAUGAAAUAAUGGGUUCAUGUACUGUGAUGGUCAUAGACUGCUCCAUGAGAAGGUUUCCCAAGUUAUAUGGCAUAGAUUCAGUAAUUUGAUGGAGGAUUUGUGGGCGUGCUAACAUUUGCUGAGAGGUGAGAGCUUAGAGAAGCUUAGGAGGCACUUUUUACUCUUACAUUUCUUUUUCUAAAUAAAAGAAAAUUACUUUUCCCUAGACCUGCAAUUUGAAUAGUCUUGCUACAUUUCUGGUCUCUCUUGAAAUUCUUAUAUGGUGAAGCAUUUCUCACUUUCAGGCUAUCACACUCUUUACGAAUGGUAUCGGUCAAUGGAGAGUGAGCACUUUCCAGAUCCAACUGGACUUCGGGCUCGUAUGGAACAGUGGACAUUUGGGCUCUAUCCUGCAUGCAUAAAGUACCUGAUGUCUGCUUUUGAUGUCCCAGAGGUGAUGGCUGCUCUACAUAAAUGUAACUGUUUGGCAUUUUAUGUUGUUCGUUAUAUGUUUCAAAAUGUUUUGUUUUGCAGGUUAUGGCCGUGACCAGAAGUAAAAUCUGCAAGAAAGGAAUGGAGUCCCUUCCUCGCAGCAGUGCCAUCAUCUACUAUGCUUCCGUAUUCCUGUACUUCUGGGUCUUCUCCACUCCUGUUGUAUCACUGAUAUUUGGCAGCUAUUUGUACCUUUGCAUCAAUUGGUUCCACAUACAUUUUGAUGAAGCUUUCUCAUCACUACGCAUUGCAAAUUAUAAGGCGUUUACACGUUUUCAUAUCACUACAACUGGUGACCUUGAAGUCUUUACCCUUGCACUUGAUAAGGUAAUAAAUUAUUCUUUGCUAAUUAUGUAGUAGCAUGUUUUAGGCGGGAAAGUAUACAAAUUUGGAAAUAGCAAUAUCAUCUUGAGUGUUAUAUUCACGUGAUGAAACUGGGAAAAAAUGCGAUGAGAGAAUAUGUUUUGAAAGUUCUAUAUUUCAGUCUCGGUAUUUUGAAAGUUUUGAAGUUUUAGAAGGCAAUAAAUUUCUCAACUAGUUGUCUAAGUAGCACUGCCGCUGUUCCAUGUAUUUUUUGGUUAUGUGCAUUCCUUGAUGCACCCCAUGUGCCGAGUCAUUGUAUGUCGAAUGAGUACUUGCUGUUGAGCUAGUGAUACAUAGAUGGGUGAUGAGAAUAAUUCAAUAUUCAAGUCUAAUUAUAAAUGCAUGUGCAGAUCGCAUCAAUAAACUCUAUUGUCAUUUGCAUCAAUAAACAAUGAUUAGUUAAUUGUUUUAUGGUUACUUUUCUUGUUUACACAUAAAUGUUUAAUUUAUCAAUAUAUUUUCAUUAGGAACUUCGUUACCUCAUGAUGUAGUACAUCGGUGUUAUGUGAAUCAUUAGAUCGUGCUUUGUAUAGUUUGUUACAGGCAUAGCCAUCACUUUUGUAUCUGCCUACCUCAUUGAUUUGUCAACUUGAAAGUGAUGUAGUGUGUUGAUUUGUUAGGGACAUCGUGUCUCAAAUCUCUUUGGUGUCUGCUUUUUCUGAUCUGCCGAACCCUCUAAUACUCCAUAAUCAGUGAUGCCUUAUUAUCUCUCAUUUAAAAUUUGUUGGUGGGUCUGCAUGCUUUUCAAUCUUCCCUUAUGAACAGGGACUAUGAAGACCUAGUUUCGAAGCAUCUUAGAUUGAACAGUGAAAAUUCACAGGAUUGGGCACUGUGGUAGUUCUUCAGUUGAUAACAGAUCUUCAACAUAUCCACAGAAAUAUAAAUGAAAAAUAAUUUUGAAAGGUGACUUGGGAUAUCCUGAUUUAUCAGGGACAGUAGAUCAGGGAGCGUAAUCUGUUUCUCCAAUCCUUGUAUGCUGCUAUCCUGUAUUCCCUAUCCUGACGUACAUACCAACACUAUGCUGGUAUUCUUCAGGUUGUAGCGUACUGCUCCUGCUUGCUGUUCUUAUAUGGCAGCACAGAGGGUCGUCCAGACACACCUUUAGAGAGUUCUUAGGUGAUUUGACUUGUAUUUUGUUGUUAUCAUUAUCAGGGUGGUAAAGGGCAUGCUCUCAUGACUUAUCCAUGCAAAUAAUAAUGCUCUAUUGAAGUUUCAAUUGGAAUAAAAAAAACUAACAAUGUGUUAUCACUCAGGUUCCCAAGGAGUGGAAGUUGGAUCCUGAAUGGGAUGCUGAACCGAAACCACCACUGCAACUUAGCCAUCUCAGGGAAUUCCCCAGCAAAUGGAGGGCAGCUUCUGGUCCAGACCCUGUCAACUCCAUUCGGAUUGUCGACCAUUUCAUUAUCCAAAAGAGUCAAGAUCCCAACAACAGAUGCUAACAGUUUGAUCGAUAGAUAAUCUUUGUUUUCAGAUCUGUAUAUAGCAAUAUGACUGACUAUUCAGAAUACAGAAGAGAAGAAAGGAAACAUUGAAAAAAUCAAAGCAAAUCAAAGUUACAAAUCAAUGACUUCCCUUUCAAUGCAACCGUGCAGAGUAGCUGGAUCAUUACGAUGACAGCAUUUCUGCUUUGACUAGGGCAUGAGUUGGAGACUAAUUUGAACCAUGUAGAGCUAGUUGAUAAGCUGGUUGGACAUUGCAACCUAGAUGUCUUUUGGGACAUUUUUGCUGUAACAGAGCAAGUAAUUUUACUGAAGUUGAGCGUGCCAACGGGUUUUCUUGGAAAGUAGCUACUGGUUCGGUUGGAAAGUCAACUGGGUCUGGGAUACCCGGUUUUUUCAAGUGUCACCUUAUCCCAAAUUGAGCUGGGCUCUCUCUCUCUUGGAUAAAACCCUUCCUUUCGAAUUAAAAAGACUAAUGGUCUUCCUAAAGUUUCUAGUAGAAAACCUUCUAGUACUUGUUAAAAUUUCCUUGUCAGCAGAGCUUUGUUUACUGCCAUACUGAAAUGGUCACUGACGUGGUUGAGCCUCUGGGUGGCCUACUCGAGAUUUUGGGGCUUCUUUUGUAAAGAAUAGAAUGUUUGAUGAAAUAUGUAGUAUUUAUAAGAAAAGACUGGUAAAUGCUCUGGAAGGACGGAAAGUAUUUUAGCCUCUUCCACCAUGAAAAGGUUAAACUUAAUGCUCAUUUUAACCUGCAAACUGAGCUUCAGCUCACUGGUGGCACCCUCUUGCUUCUGUUCAUGGGGUACAGGGCUCGUCCUGGUCCUCUCUCUCUUGCAUUGUUUUAAGUUAUGCUAAAAUCCUCUAAAAAGAGGAGUAGAGCUACAUUCUACCCAAAGAAACCAUUUGAUGUGAGAAAAAAACCCUCCAUCUGAACUAAUAAUCAUAACAAGCCCUGAAUAAGCCUGAAAGGAAAGUGGAAUAAUUAACUAACAUCUGCCCAGUCAGAGCUUGUGGAGGGUUGUGAAAUAUGUUCUGAUGGAGCAAACCUCUUUGAUCUAUUUUAUUAGGAGUAGCACUCAAUGAAAAUUUGUAACAAAAAGGGCCAACUUGGCCUUCUUGUUGUUCAUACAGGGUCUAGGAGCGUUUUAAACAAGAGUGCUUUGCUCUAUGGUUCAUGGCGAGCACCCAUGAAAACAGCCCUGGACCAAGUCCCACCACCUUCUAGGAUCAACAGAUUCCAGCAAUAAUUGGAUACUCCAGGCUCGACUUGCUAUUGGCCCAUUGAUAAUUGGACGAUUACACGAAUUCCGCUCGCUUAGCACAACAGACUUUGAGUACUUCAAAUGUGAACAGAAGGGUCAAUUUGAGCGUACUUUUGAAAUUUACGAGAAGCAAGCCUCAGCUUCACAUUAGCUUAAGCCAAAAUAGGCCACUCGUUAGCUUCAUUGAAGAUGAGAAUUUCAAAAAAUGUUAGCUUCAUUGGCGAUGAGAAUUUCAAAAAAUAUGAUAAAUAAUUUUAUCAAAUUUUCAACUGAAUUUGCUACAGCUCAAAAUUAUUUUUGAAAGAUAUUUUAUCUACAGAAUAUUAUAAUUUUAAUAUAUAAUAUCAUAAUUUUAAUUUAAGAUGUCAUAAAAUUAUCAAAAAAAUAUCAAUUUUAAAAUAUUUUAUCUAUUGAAUGUCAUAAUAUUAAUCUAAAAUAUCAAAAUUUUAAUCUAAAAUAUCAUAAUAUUGUCAAAACUAUCUUUAGAAAGUAUUUUACCUACAGGAUGUUAUAAUUUUAACAUAAAAUAUCAUAAUUUUGAUUCAAAAUAUCAUAAAAUUAUCAAAAAAUAUCAAUUUUAAGAUAUUUUACUAAUAAGAUGUCAUAAUAUUAAUAUAAAAUGUCAUAAUUUUGAUCAAAGAUAUCAUAAUAUUAUCAAAAUUAUCUUUAUGAGGUAUUUUAUCAAAAUGAUAUUAUAAUUUUUAUAUAAAAUAUUAUAAUCUUGAUCUAGAAUAUCAUAAAAUUAUCAAAAAAAAUCAAUUUUGAGAUGUUUUAUCUUUUAAAUGUCAUAAUAUUAAUCUAGAAUAUCAUAAUUUUGAUAUAAAAUGUCAUAAUAUUAUUAUAAAAUUAUUAAAAAAUAUCAAUUUUGAGAUGUUUUACCUACCGAAUAUCAUAAUAUUAAUCUAAAAUAUCAUAAUUUUGAUAUAGGAUAUCAUAAUGUCAUCAAAACUAUCUUAAAGAGGUAUUUUACUUAUAGGAUGUCAUAAUUUUAACAUAAAAUAUUACAAUUCUAAUCGAGAAUACCAUAAAAUUAUCAAAAAGAUAUUAAUUUUGAAGUGUUUUAUCUUAAGUAUGUCAUAAUAUUAAUCUAAAAUAUCAUAAUUUUGAUUUAUGAUAUCAUAAUAUUGUCAAAACUAUAUUUGAGAAGUAUUUUAUAUAUAAGAUGUCAUAAUUUUAACAUACAAUGUCAUAACUUUGAUGUAGGAUAUCAUAAAAUUAUCAAAAAAUAUUAAUUUUGAUAUAUUUUACUUUCUGUAUAUCAUAAUAUUAAUCUAAAAUAUCAUAAUUUUGAUUUAAGAUAUCAUAAUAUUACUAAAUCUAUUUUGAAAAAUAUUUUAUUUACAAAAUAUUAUAAUUUUCAUAUAGAAUAUCAUAAUUUUGAUUUAUGAUAUCAUAAAAAUAUCAAAAAUAUAAUUAGAAGAUGUUUUAUCUACAGGAUGUCAUAAUAAUAAUCUAUAAUAUCAUAAUUAUAAUUUUAAUUUAUGAUAUCAUAAUAUUGUCAAAGCUAUCUUCAGAAGAUGUUUUACCUAUAGGAUAACAGAGUUUUAGUCUAAAUAUCAUAAUGUGAACCUAUAAUAUCAUAAUUUUAUCUUUGAAUGUCAUAAUAUUGUCAAAAACCAUCAUGAAUAAAAAUCAUAACAUCCUGACUUAUUAUAUAACUUUUUCAGAAAAAAUUAUAUGACAUGCUGUGUUCAGAAUUAAAAAAAAAAAAGAACUCCAUUUGAGCCUACCGAACAUAUUAAUUUCAUUUAACCACCAAAGGAACUACUGUAAUAAAGAAACUACAAAAAAAUUAUAAUAAAAAAUCUACAGAUAGCUUUUACUUUUUGAUGAAUGGAACAUGUUACUUAGAUAGAUAAUAUUAUCUAGAUGCUAGCUAACAGUCUCAGACGCAUAAUUCUUGCUAUAGAAUAAAUCUCAGACAUCUAGACACUAAAGCAGCAACUCAACAAAAUGAAGAAGAAGAGAGAGAAAAGAGCAACAUUCAUAAUGUCCAACCAGACUUCAAAAUAGUAAAAAUACUUCAUUUUGAAGAAAAAAAAAAUUUUGAUCAUAUUUAAUUUGAAAAAUAGAUUAUGACGUACAUUAAAUGUAUUCAAACAACAGCCUCCAUUUUCUUUAAGCCUUCAAGCAUUCGGUUUGAUGCGAGACGACAUCUAUCACAUCAUACUAUGAGUGCGCUAUAUGUACCAGUUAAAUAACGCGAUGCACUCCACAUUGAAUUUUCUACACUACGGACGGUGUACAAAGAAUUUCGCUUUUAACAAUAGCAGCAUUCAUGAAAAUUUGUAACAAAAAUGUCCACUUUGGCCUUCUUGUUGUUCAAAACAGGGUCCAGGAGCAUUUUAAACAAGAGUGCUUUGCUCUAUAGCUCACGGCGAGUACCCAUGAAACCAGCCUUGGACCACGUCCCACCACGUUCGAGGAUCAACAGAUUCCAGCAAUAAUUGGAUGGUCCAGGUUCGACUUUGGCCCAUUAAUAAUUGAACGGUUACACGAGUUCCGCUCACUGAGCACAACAGACUUUGAGUACUUCAAAUGUGAACAAAAGGGUCGAUUUGAGCAUACUUACGAAAUUUACGAGAAGCAAGCUUGUACUUCACAUUAACUUAAGCCAAGAUAGGCCACCCGUUAGCUUCAUCGAUGAUGAGAACCUCAAAAAAAUAUGAGAAAUAACUUUGGCAAAUUUUCAACUGAACUCACUGCAGCUCAACUCAACUAAGUCUUAAUUCCAAACAACUUGGGAUUAUAUAUAUAAAUUCUUUUCCUACAUCCCACUCUAUUUAAGAGCUAUAUAUUCUGAAAGAUAUAGUGAUUUCAAGUCCUUUUUCACUACUGUAUCCUGUAUGAUUUUUGACCUAGCUUUGUCUCUCUUUCCUCCUACAUAUAUCAAACCACUUCUUGCUGAUACAUCCUUCGACUUGUAUUGUACAUAUCUAAAUCAUAUAAAUCCUCUCAAUUUGUCUUCAAUCAGUACUACCUCUACGUUUUUACAAAUGAUUUUGUUUCAAAUUUUCAGUUAUCAAAUAUUAUUUAGGAAAAUGAUAACCUGGUAUUUUAUCCAAUAAUAGUGAUUUAAUCAGCCAUUAGAAGUUUUGCAUGUGUUAUUGUAGAUUGAAAUGCAUUAUAACGAAGGCUUCACUGUUAGUUUUCAUGCUACAGUUACAAUAAAGUUUGAGCACAGGUCGGGAAAGGACUGCUUUGAUCUUCAACAGGUCCCUUGAAGGUCUGAAAAAUCCUCUGACCAUUUCUUUUGUCAAAAAGGGGCAUAUUUGGCGAUCAUGGUACAUAAUAACAAUCAAAGCCCCAAAGCAUUGGCCAAUCAAAUGCUAGCACAUGUCAACAUACUAUCUGCAAGCAAUAGAAUAAAACUUUGGGGAGUGUAUUAAGAUGUGAAAGCAACCCAAGGAGCUUGGGGCAAAGGAGAAGAAUUAAAUUAGGAGCAGUUGGUUAUGCUGCUAUGACAUCAUUCAUCAAUAAAUCAAAAUUUCUAAUACAAAAUUAAAUGAUAUCAAUUCUUACUUAACUUCUCAAAGCAGAAGUCGCAAUAGAGGCCUCUGUCAAGAAAUAUUAUAUUUUUAGCUACCUACAAUUCCUCAAUGAUUUUUUUUAAAAAAAUAAUAUUCCAUGACUUUGAUGGAUAAUACUGCCCUUAGACACCAAUUUCUUUGGGCAGGUGGCUUAUCCUCAAUUGUGGUAAGAACUGCCAUCAUUGGCACCAAUAGAUGGGGACCUGAAUGAAAGGGUGGGUGUACAAAGAAAUGACACUGCAUCAUUACAAGCCACAUAUCAAGGUAAGAAUAUGACAGUCAGGACCCAAAUAACAGGCUUCUUUAUUAGCAGUCAUUUCAACCCAUCACCAAUGCAACCCACCAUAAUGCCUUUGGUAAUUAGUAGUUUUUUUAGUGCAUCAUUACUUUAAAAUCAUGAUAAAUUCCCACACAAUAAAAACUGGAAUUUCUCAUAGAAAUUUAAAACAAGAAUGAGGACUAACAUGGGAGCCAGCCUGGUACCAUGGAUUAGCAAUUCCUACCUCUACUUAUCGCUCCCCUUGCUAGCAUGGAUUAGCAAUUCCUACAUCUACUUAUCAAAAUCUUUGAAAGAUUAGGAAAUGGAAGGUGGGGAAGGGACAACUAUAGCAACCAUCAACUUAGAUAAGAUGGCUGCAGAAAAGAUUGCAUGCCUAAAGUUAAAUAGUCAAAGGCACAAGGGUCCAUCAUACCGACCCUACCAAUAUUUAAGUUUCCCAACUAACAAUUUGCCUUAUUUGCAGCCUACUUGAACUGUAAUAACGUGCCCUAGAAUUUGAGGAGAAAAUAGAAGUACAUGAAAAUGAGCAGAAAUGAAAUGGCAUAGUACUAUCAUUCAGUCAAUCAACAUCCUUAUAUUCGCAGGAAAAAAACAUUCGAUCCCCAAAAGAUUUAGCAGAAUGAAUCUGGAAAGAACAAGCAAACAGUAGUGCCUACCAGACAUCUUGGAAAAAAUAUAUAUUUAGGAGAAAGGAAAACAAUUUAAUCAGGAAAUGAGAGUAAAAGGUACUAGGUACCACAGCAUAUCAACUGAGAAAAAUUUAAAUCUUUAAUUCACAGUAGCUGGAUGAUGAGCGAGUGCUUGGUCUCUUGAGAUGGGUCGCUUGGUUAUUGGAUAACACAAAUACAAGCUGGGUUGCCAUGGUCAUUGUCAUCUAGCUCUCCUGGUUCACUGUAUCAAAAAUGGCAACUGGUUAAAAAUUUAGGAAAAUGGUCCUCGUUGUGUUAAAUGUAGACAAAAAAAGCUAACACUCUACCAUUGCAAGAAGUAUAUCAGUACUUGAAAAGAUAUAUAGACAUUCAAGAUCAAACAUAAGUUCUGCAAGGAAUUGAAUUACCAUUAGAUGCUUAAAACAUGAUGGAAAACUAGCUAGAGGAUCUACACAAAGUAAAAACAUAUUCUAGUGCCUUCAUCUACAUUCCAUGCCAUAAUUUUCAAAUUCUAAAAGAUUCUUUACGAACAGUAAGAGUCAAAAUGAAUGCAUAUCUGAGUCAAGGCUGCAUGCGUGAAAUCAACCAUCUAAGCAUUGGUGCUAAAUUUUUUUGGUCAACUUGGGGCCAGUGAGAAGCAUACCUUGAAGCCUACCGGACAAGUUGGUCGGUAGGGAGACCAAACAAACUUUUUGCAGUUUAGGUAUCAAAUCAGAGAGCAGCCAAUCAGAAUUUCACUUAGAUGUGAAGAGAAUCUAGACAAGAGAGGAUGAUAAGAUUUGGUAUAGGGAAUCUUUUUCUUCUCAGGCAUAAAGUAGAAAACAAAGAGUUAAACACAGUCCUGAAACAUUUGCAAAUAACUGGUCCACAGGUUCCAUCAGAUGAAAAUGGAAAUUACAGAAAAAAUUAACUGCGGAAGGAGGCUUAGCUACGUGUCAAACAUGUCAAUCCUAGAUACAUUUGUACAAAGUUGCAUAACACACAUAAAUGCAUAAUUAUGUACUUACCUGUAGUUUUCGUAAAAUAUAAUUAUAAAAAAUUUAAUACAUACAUCCCCUAUGAAAUGUUAAGCACAGAAACUUGUUUGAUAGUUCCAAUAUUGUGAUAUAAAUUGCAAAUCCCCUAAGACUCAGUCUAAGAAUUUUAAUUCGAAAGAAUACUCCAGUUGAUAAAAAAGAAAUGGCUCCCCUCAUUCGAGAAUCUGGAUAAACCAACCUUUUCCAGAAAUUUUCCAAAAAAUAUUCCAUUUCAUUAUAAAUCAUUUUCCCAAAAAAUUCCGAUUAUUAGAACAACUAUCCUAAUUCUAAGAAACAUGAUCCACAAUGGGUACAAAAGCAGGUCCUCUAUAGAAAACUAUUUCAGCUCUAUGCAAGACUUCUUAGUAACCAUGAGAUUGCCAUAGAAAGGAAAUAAGAAUGAGGCAACAGGCAACCAUACAAAACCUGGUGUCCAUUUAAUUCGGUUACACCAUCUCUCGCACAAGUUAAAAGUUUUAUACUUCUCACCGUAAUCAUUUACAUCAUGCAUCAUCCAGUCAAUCCAAUCAACUGGGAAACCUCUAUUGUUGAUUAUUUUUCUUAACUGACCCUUACUUCUUAUUAAUUCAUGAAAGGGCAUCAUGGAAAACUUCUCUCUUGCAUGAUCUCCUGAAAGUAGGUGUUGAGUGGAUUAGAUUGCUACAACUUGAUCAGGUAGAGCUGAAAUGGACUGGAUAUGGGUUGCAUAUUAGUAAAACACACAUCCAUAUCCACUUACAUUUAGGCAGAUAUGAUUAUGGAUUUGGAAUCCAAUUGGACCAGGGAAAAGUAUUUAAGUUCAUAGUAAAUAAAUACCGAUACCAAUCAGAAUAUUCAUAAUCCAUAUCAAUCUAAAACAUGUAUGCAUAAAACUUGGAUGCGAUAAUAAACAAUAUGGAUAUAAUUGAGUAUUUAUAAUAUCUUUAUCUGUUCUAAACAUCUACAUGAGUUAGUUUAGGUGAUGGAAUGAAUUAAUAAAAGAUAUUAAAUAAGUAAUUCUAAAAUUUAAACAAUAUUCCAAUAAUCAUUUAACUAGAAUUACAACAUAGAAAUAUCAAUCAGAUAAAAAGAAACUAACUUUUUGAUAUGCUAAUAUACAAAUAUUUCUGUAUAUUGAUAUCUUAAUAUAUGUUUCCUGAUAAUACAUCAAGAUCCAUAUCCAUAUCUAGCUUCUGAAUUCACCGGCCCCCCACCCCCACCCCCUUUUUUUUUUGUGUGUGUGUGUGUGUUUUCAAAAGAAAAUCAUUAAAAGCAAGUCGGAUGUUCAACCAAACCAAAACCCAAAAAUGAAAGGAACCCAACCUAGAAAUAACGAAAAGAUUCUCCAAAUUACAGAUAUCACUACCGUUAGAAUGAAAACCCACUAAAAAAGCCAGCCAUAGUCCAAAAACUCCAACAAAACAUUACAAGGCUUUUACCCAGACUAGAAAGAGAAAUUUAAACCAAUGUACCAUACCAAUCUGAGUUAGGAAUUCAAAUAAAUAUCUAUAUAUGAGAAUAUGCUUAAACAGAUAAAGUCAGACUAUAUUUGAUUCACUACCUAAAUCAGUGGGGCACCUGCCUGCUAAUCUUACUAAUGUUGGAAUAAGUGACCAUGGUUUGGAUCCAAACCUUGAUGAGAUAUGUAGCAGACUAGGAUUGAUUAUAACAUUUUGUUCAUUCAUCUGCUGAUAGAACUUUGCCCACAUCUAUGCUUUAUCUUUUUGAGGCACUAAUCCAUACCUAUGGCAUGCUGGUCCAAUUAAGAUCCUGCGAUCCAUUCUAUUGGCAUGUAGUCCUCAACUUGACCCAAAGAUCAUCAGAUCUAGAGAACACUUCAAAAUCUUUAAUAACUAAAGUUUUUGCACAAAGAAAUGAGCUUUCAACACAAUCAUGUCCAACAGCUUGUUAUAUCAGAUAGAUUACUUAAGUCUAAAAAAUUCUGAUGAGCUGCAAGUAUAAAUCAAAAUGGAACAGGUUAAACUAUGUACAACUUCACGAGGUUAGGAUUUGGUAAUGUCUAAGCAAAGAUAGGAGAUCUGCACACUGCCAUAUGACCAGAAUUCAAGAUGUAUAUAGUAAAUUAUGAAGGAUAUGUCGUAUGACUAAAGAGCAGAUUUCACUGUCCACAUAUGACUUUUGAAGCAUAUAAGAAAAAAGCUCAUUAGAUAUUUGUCAAGUUUCUGGGAAAAAUUCUUUUAGUUAAAAUUUUAAAGAAAAUUCAGUGAAGAUUCAAGAAAAACUAGAGAGUAAGUUAAAAAAAAAUAAGUUGCUGAAACUAGAAGCUGGCAUACGUUUCAGCUCAUAAUGAAAAAGUCAAAACAAUUAAGAAGAAGGAAUCACAACUUUGAUCUCAAAUUUGUUAUCAUAAUAUUAGACCACAUAUUUCCAAAAUCUCCCUCAAUAACAGUUGAGUUUCAGAAACAGUAGGCCUCUGUCCAUAAUAACAGUAGGGUUUAGCAAGAAAUAAGCACUUCCAAGUUCCAACAAACAAUCUCUCAUUGAGUAAUCAAUUUGUUAGCAACAAUAUAAAAAAAUAUAAGCAAUUAAUCACAAGAUAUCCAACUACCAAGUUUGGUCUACAUCAAAGAAGGCUUUUGAAUAAUCAAAGAAAGAAAAUUUCUGCUUGAACGAGGAUAUUGUUCUCCCCCACCCCACCCCGGGGCACUCCCCCAACCCUUGCACCGCCCCCUGUGCCAAACACACACGGCCGUGCGCACGCACACAUGCACACACACAACACUACCCCUUUCUCUCUUUUCCUUUGGUUGAUGAAAAAGGUAAUGGAUUGAACUCUUCUACUCACUAAUUGUGAAUGAAACAGUUUCUGAAAUAUGACUGAACUUCAACAGACAAAAGAAUAAAUCCACCUAUGUUUUGUAGAUAGCCAGUCCCAAACCUGGAUAAAAGAGGAGGGUUCAGUAGGUGGAUUACCAACAUAGAACUAUAGUCACAUCCUAUGAAUAUGAAUUUGUAUAAGUUGAGUGGAGCUUGAAUAGACAAAAGAAUCUUUUUACAAUAAAAAUCCAACUCCACAUAUUAACAUCUCUUCCUUCCUAGUUAAGGAUAGGCUGAUCUUAUUGUUUUCUAAGUCCAAAGAACUCUCUUAACUUGCAAAACAAUAACAAAGUCUACAACACAUUUGGAUACUCAUGGAACUCAAUACAAGAAGACCAUUUCCUAAUGACAGUAAAACGCCCCAAACUCAACUACGGCUGAAGGGAAACUUUCUUACUCUACAUGGCAGAUGUAAUGCUCUAAGACAUUCCCAAGCAGUCCCCUGUCUCAGCUCAGAUAGGGCUUCUACAUAGCGGCUCAAACGCCCAACUGCAUAAUUUAGUAAAUACAAAACAAAACACAUAAGCAUUCCUAUAACUGCAAUUAGACAAGUAGUCCCCAACUAACUGCAGCUUAGUCUUCUAGUUAGGGUCAUAUCUAAUUUUCUGGUAAACCCUUAAGUAUUAGCUUGCAUUUAUUGUGCUUAUUUCUGAUUAAAUAAGAAGCCAAAAUAUAUUCACUAUCAGAUUUCCACUAAGAAAUGUGUUCCACUAUUAGGCUUAUUUCAGACCUUGUGAUCAUCCAACUAGUGGUUAUAUAGAUGCAAAUGGUCCAACCAAAAAUUUGAUAGUUUUGAAUUAUAGAUGUCAAAAUCAGGUGGCCAUGGGCCUAGUGUCCAUGCAAUAUUUAAAGUGCAAAAAUGGGAGGUGAUAAAAAGGAAAAGAAAGCCUAACAAAAGGAAGCGCCAGCUUGUUGAUCAGUGGUUUAUUACUCUUUAAGUAUACUGCAACCAUGUCACCUACAGCUUAAAUUUCCAAUUUAAAUUGUAGACUCGUUGGACUCAAGCAACUAUACAGCAAUAAGAACCAAAAGGUAACAAUUUAGAACAUGUUAAAAUAAGCUUCGGUACCAUUUAUGAACACUCCCAGCAUCACUCACACUAUCAGCUUUCUUGCAACUGUUAAUUACACAUAAGACUAUAAUUCCAUUUUUAGAUUUAAAACAUUAUAUGAUUUGUUACCUGAAUAUGACAAAGGUCCAUCAGAAGUUAACCAAGCUUCAAAUCACAAAUCCCUAAUGGUUGCAAAUUGCCACCAAAACUUAGCUCAAACUUUCAAAUAUCUUAAUUCCUAACAUGUAAAUAGAACUCCAAUUUGGCCAUUGAACAAGUAUUUCACUCCACAAUACAUAACCCCAAUAUGAUUGCCUUUUUUGUCUCUUUGCAGGUGUUAUGCAAAAACCAGUAUAGAAAUUUUAAACAUAUAACAUUACAUAGUUUAUCACUCUUUGAUGCUAAUACCAAAUGGUUGGGAUAUGUAGGACUCCUAAUGAGCCAAGCCUGGCUGAUCAAAUCCAAAAUUUUGAAUAGGCCUGGCCCAAAACCUGGCCUGAUGUAAUAUUAAAUCUGGGCCCUUUAUAAACCAGGGACAAGGGUUGUCAGUCGUGGUUAUUCUAAUUAUGAUAGGCUUAAUAAGAGUACUCGAGUUUCUGAAUACUCUAGUUCCUGUUUUUCCUUUAUAUUCCCCCAUAUAAACUUUUUAACUGAAAAAUGUUGAAAAACAAUGGCUCAAAUGACAAAGUCAAAGUAUCCCAUGUUGACGAAUAAAAUAUUGUAAAACACCCACAAUAAUCAAAAUAAACAAAUGGAUUCCAAACAGGGAUUACUAUAACAGUUAGGAAAAGUCAACUGCAUAUUCACUAUCCAUCAAUCGAUGGUAUGCAUCUAAACUUAUUAUCAUUUGGAGCAUACUGCAAUUAUCAAUCUUUUUGCAGCCUUUCAACAGAGAAAAUAUAGUCUAUUGAGACCUAAAAGUGCUAAAGCAUCUUAAUCUGUAGCUUCACCCAAUCUGAAUCUUUCCCAAAUAACGAAAUCAGUUUUUAUGGGAUUUCACAACCAACAAUUUAUCCUCAAUCCUUGUGCUCCUACAGAGAACAUCAGCAGGCAUCUUGAGUUGAGUAAGAACCAUUUUCACCUCUUUAAAAAGUUAAUGAAUAUAUAGUCCAUACAACUACCCACCAUUACAAGAAGUAAUCAUUAACCAUGCAAAAUCUUUCACCGAGAUUUGAACAAGCCUAUGGAUGCCUUAUUGUAGAAGGCCGUUUCUUCAAUAGAAUAUGCUCCCCUAAUUUAAAUUUCUUUCCAACACCAUAUAUGAAUAAAAUCUACACUAUCACAAUCAAUCAUUUGUCCUACGCUUACAUUUGCCUUCCUCAAGUUCGAAGCUGGAACAAUAGAUUGAUCUCCAAUGGAGGCCAACUCUAGAUCAUCAGUUUAAAAUCAUUUUCCAAGUGAUGAAAGAUUCCUUAUCCACAUAUAAACAAUGUUUAACUCUUCUUUUGGUUUGCACACCUUGUACAGAGCCACCAAUACAAUAAGAGGCAUUCGUUCAAGAUAUACCAUAUAGAGAAUCCAUUUGCACUUGCCAAACUCUGCACAAUGAUCAGCGUGGGCAUCAAACAUUGACUUGCAAGACAUAAGAAGGUGAGAUGUUAAAUGCCCAGAUGAUCAAAAUAUUCCUUCAAAGCAAAUAUAUGUUCUUCCAAUUAGGCGAGUUUUGUCUUGGCCCUCUCAAGGAGAAUAUCUGAAAUGAAAUAAGGUGUUCUUGAGGUUCAUGCUCUUCAACAAGUAACAAGGACUACCAUAUUUGUUAAAAGACAAGUGACACUAAUCACCAUUUUUGUCUUCAUGCUCUUCAACAAGUAAUAAGGACUACCACAUUUGUUUAAAGAAAAGUGACACUAAUCACCAUUUUUAUAUUUAAUAAAUUGAACUUCAAGGGCAACCAAAAGCAUCAAAGUAAAAAACUAGAUUGUUCUAGUUUGUUCGAAAUGAUUAUUAAAAAGAUGAUAUCAUUAUCUACAAAGUCAAGACAACAAGAAUUCUCACUGUAAAUAUACGUGAGAUAAUAAAUAUGUAGCAACAUGACAGAUUUUAUUCCAUCAAGGUUGCUAAAAUUACCUUUAGAUAAAUUCUCCAAAGAAUCAUAAGGAAAUGGUAAAAGUGCAUGACCGAAGAAUCAUUGUACCCAUCAAAUAAAAGCUCUAGUAAACAUGGUUACAAAUUUUCCUAAAUGUCAAUGCUUCAGAUAGUUCUUGUUUUGUGGUUCUUUCCAACUUGCUGAAUACUUGACCACUAAUAAGAAUGUAUUCUGAAAAUGUUAUAAAUAUAAAAUUAUGUUAUAUGACCUCUGUUUAUCUUCUUAAUGAAAAUUCCAGACGGAAUUUUCCUCCCUCCUCAAAAAAACAAGGUCAUAUUAUACAUGAAAAGCAAGCCCAUCUAUAAUUUCUUGAAGUAUUCUAUUCACAUACUGAAUGAACAAACCAUAGGUUAAUGUAAUUUUUCCUUGAUCAUAGUUCAUUGUAUUUGUAAACAAAAGGUCAUUGCCCUCUUAAGCAGGCUGAAUUGUAGUAGUACAACCCAACCAACACUACCCACUCAUUUUAAUUUUAUUAGUGUACCACUCAAGUAUGAGAUCAUCAUGAAGUUAUCAUACAUUACUUGUGCAAUUGUCUAGUCAUUAAUUGAUCUCCACCCCUGUACAGGAUUGUCAUGUUCUGCCCAAUAUUAAUAUGGUGCAAGUAACCAUUGUUGAUUGUGACCGGUAUCCAAUGAUCUAAAUCUGGACAUAGCCCAAAAGUUCUUUAAACAAGAAAAUCAAUUGACAGAAUCUCUUUGAGGGAACGUUGCUACUUCCCUGCAAUCUCCAAGUGGAUGUUGGGAUUUCUAAUAAGAAUCCACCCUUCCUACCAACCUGAACAAUCUUGUUGGCAGCUAUUCCACAAUUUUCAGUUAUUUUCCAGCAACCGUUUUAAUAGUGAUUACUUGCUAAAAGUUGGCAUGGCUUCCCUUCAUCCACCAUGUUCCUUGGAGAUGAAAUUUCACAAUGAAAGAGCAACAAAAUAUAUUCCUCCUUGACAAUCCAGCUAACCAAGUAAUCUAUUUUUCUCUCAGAUUUCUCUACUUUGUACCCUUUAUCACUCUGGUCAUCAAAGGACACUUCUAAAAAUUGUCCUCCCUUUAUUGUUCUGCAAUUUACAAAAAAAUUGUAUAUCUAGUUUGUUUGGUGUAUUUAUACUUAUGUCUCUCAGUGUAGCACCUUAAACCAACCUUUUUCCCCCUUUGCCACUAUUAACAGAAUUGUGUUCUAGAUAGGCUACAAAUUCAUCAAAUUAGGUUUUGGAUUCUGUUGAACCAGAUCCAGCCACAGUAAAUACAUGUUUAAAAUUUAGGUUGACCCAGCCGAUUGAAGAGAUCAAGGAUGGAUUGGAUCAGGUUUGCACUUCAAAAAUAAAUUGCUCUCAUCUGCUUUCGGGAAACAGCCAGAAUUAAAGCCAUAGUUUUAUAUUCAAUCCUCCGAACACCACAAAAGUGGAGCUUUAGAUAGUUAGGUCCUCAUUUUGGUGCAAAUUGUAAUUAUUAUACAGAUUUUAAAGUGAUUAGGCUAGCAAGGAGAGUUUAAGUCAAAGACAAAUAACUAAUAAAAAUUAUAGUCCCCCAUAAUUGUCUGAAUGGUCAAGGAGAUAAAGCCAGGUUUUUGCAAAAUCUUUAACAUGAAAAACGUGCCAUUAGCAACUUUCUUAGGUGGAAAUCUAACAUGACAACAAAACCAUGAAUAUAAAAUGUAACAAGAAAUUAACCACAGAUCUAUGGAAUAAGCUGGAAUCCUAAAGAAAUGACCAAUUAAUUCCAGGAGCAAACUUAUAAUUUUUUUUCAGAAUAAAUUUCCCAAACGCCUCAAACUAAUUCACAAAAACACAGAAAAAUAUGGGAUGAAACAAUAAGCAAACAUGUUAGCAAUGCUACAAUACCUAAAAUGUCUUACAAGUGACAUAGAACAAAGAUAUUAGAAUGAUAUGAGCAGGAUCAGGCCCAUAUUAUUUUUUCAAGUUGACCAUAGAAAUGUUAAUUCAAACAGAAAUUCAAGUAUGACAUUCUGUUUUGCAAAGAUUAUUGGAACACUCAUUUAAGCCCCAAUUCAUCAAAUGCACAUUUUCUUCUUCUUUUAUAUUGUGAGAAAACUUAACUUUUAUAUAUUCUGACUAAAUUGAUGGAAAAAUUAAUGCUUUUUGCUUUUAAGCCUCUUCAGGUGUUCCUCUUCCUGAUCUAAUCUUCCAAUCGCAUCCAUACAGUUCAUGUAAGAUAAGCCCUUUCAAACUAAAUAAGAUUGAAAAAAACACUACAGAAAUCCACUGCAUAACAAACAAUAAUUGGUAGCACCACAUACUCCCAAGGCGGCAAAGAGAUAGACAUAAAUGCUUUUAUACCCGUAAAUGAACAAAAUUAAAAAUAUAAAUGUAAAUAUUGCACAGGUUAAUACCAAUAUAAAGCAAACUGAAGACGCAUGAGAUUGAACAGAACCCUGUCGAAAUUGCAAAAUAUAAACUGAACCAGAAACUUACAUUCGAGUAUGAAUUUAACUAUGGAGAAGAAACCUACAUGGGUUCAAAUUCUUUGAUUUCAACAAGUUCCUUUCCCACCAUAUCCAUCCACUUCACCUCCCUCUUUCCGACCUCUUUUGGACCAGACCCUGAUGACUUCUUAAGGAUGCUUUUUAGCAAGGUCUCAACUUUCCCAUGGACUGAUCCAUCAAUCUUCUCAACCACCAUUUUUUCAUCUGGCAAUCUCUCCUCCACGCCAUGAAUAAUUGGACAUGGACUAGAAGAAGCAUGCUGGAUAUCUUCCGAUUUCAAAGCGCAAGGCGAGUAAAGGCGGAGGGAUGACUUCGAGGAGCAGAUGAAGGGGCAGUAGGAUUUGCAGGAAAACACCCUCAUGAAAAUAGAUUUGAGACCAGCAUAUUACAACUACUUAAAGCCCAACUUAUGACACAAAAAAGCAACAAACAUUGGGGGAAACCCCUUAAAUCAGACAAUUCAACUUCAAGCCUCAACCAUUUUCACCAGACAUCAGAAUUCUCAACAGAAACCCCAAUAAAACUCAAGGAAACACAAGGAGAAAAACACAACUGCAAAUAGGCACCAAGAACCAAAAAGACAACAGAAAUUUAUAAAAUUUCUUCAAAACAACAAAACCCAACAUCAAGGUUCAACCUUUAAACAUCUAAUGAGAACUCAAAGAACCCCAAACAGGAAAAGAACAAUAAAUGCAUUGGAUAACAAACAAAGCAGAGGGGAAACAGCUUUAAAACGGGGAAGGCGGAAGAAAAAGAUGAUUUUUCUUCCGCCAGUAUAACUCCGAGGCCACACAAAAGAUGAAACCAGCAAGGGAGGAAGAAGGAACAGGGUCCCGGGAAAAAAGUAACCAAGCAAUAAAGAUGGGAACUUGCUUUGCAGCCAAAUAUCAGAGAGAGAGAGAGUUAAGGUUGGGGAGGAGGACCCAAAAGGCUAAAACACCAAGCAAUCUUUGAUGGGCACCUCACAUCCAACGGAGCCCCGGUGUGCGAGUUGUUAACCACUCUCUCUACUGGUUGAAAAGUUAAGCUAAUGACUGUUUAGAUUCCUUCAAUGGCCGUGUCCAAAAGAAAAUGACCGUGUCCGUUUCUCCCCUUGGUGAGGGUCUUUAGGUUUAGAAAUGAUUUAAUUAUUCAACGAAAAAUACGAAACCUUCCUAUAAAAAAAGUAAACCCGACAUGUUCUUUUUCCGUCAACCCGAGAUUUUAACCAAUGCAUUUGAUCUGACAUAAGCCACUACGACACGAACAUGGAUGAGCUGAUCUCAUGCACCUUUGACUCAGCUUACAGGUCAAGCACCAAGAGAGAUGGUAAUUUGGGUAAUUUAACCCAAGUUCGUCUUAACCUCGAUAUGAUUUAGAGCCAUAAGAUGCAAACCAGAGUCUAGCCCAACAAAGUCAACAAGCUUGAGAACCUAUCCAAUUUAUGGAUUUAUAUUAGGUUCACUUUGGCCCAACCUGACUUGAGUCACUUGACCAAGCAUGAGAAGAUUUAAGCUCUAUAAUUUAUUGCAAGAAUAUUAUUUUUACAAGUAAAAGUGCAUAUUUUUCACAAUACUAGUAUGAAGAUCAGUAUAGGUAUACAUUUAAUACUACAUCGACUAUGUAUUGAGUAGAUUUUAAAUAUUUAUAUAAAAUUAAAAAAUCUAAAUAACAUCUGUGAGCUAGUCUUUUUAGAUAAGAUCCUAAAUGAUCGUAAAUGAUAUAUGUUCUACCCAUGACCUAUGUGAACUAGGGAUGGUAUAGCACAUGUCCAUUAAAACUAAAGAUCAAUCAUGGUUUUUGUAAUUGAAAUUGAACUCUAAAUUUAGUAAAGAUAUCAGAGCUUAGAUGGAUAAUGUAUACGAGGACCCAUGCAAGUGUGUACCUAAGUUAACAUUAGCUAUGUACCGAGUAGAUUGCCAAUGAAUCCAACUAACACCAUUUGGCUAGUUUUUUCGGACAAUAUUCUGGAUCAUUAUGUCACUUAUGAUGCACAUGCAUAGACAUGCAUAUCUGAACCUAAUUACCUUGAUUAUUGUUAAAUUAACAAUGUUGUCCAAGAAAGUCAUCAUCAAAAGACUGACAAAGAAUUUUGUUAAUAAAAAGGAAAUGUUGAUAACAAACUUAAACAAACAUUGCUCUUUUCCUCUCACGAGAACCCUGCAUCUAUCGUGUCUUUUUGUAGGUAAUUACAGCAAAUGCCAUCCUUUCUUUAUUCUCUCCACAUUAUUUUCAUAUUAAAUAAUACAUAUAUAUUAAUUAGUAAUUUUAUUCUAAGAAGAAGGAAAAACCUAUAUAAAAUGAUUUCUGCAAAAAAAAUUAAAUUCAAAAAAAUGAAAAAAAAUAAUUUCCAUAAACUACAUUCCUGAAAAUUAUUUUUUUAAAAUUCUAAAUAUGAAACAAGCUUGGCAAGUAGAUUUUGUUUAUUCUAUUUCAAGAAAUUAAAAUAAAUUCUUCAAUAUUUAAUUUCAGCAAAACAAAAUGUACUUUGAAAAUCUCAAAUUAAAAUUUUCUAAAUAUCAUAUUUUGCUUUCUAAUAUUUUGUAUAUUAGAUUAUGUAUAUCAUAAAAAUCAUGCAUUUUUAAAUUAUUAAUUCCUUAUAUUAAUUUUUGGGUAAAACAGCAAGAAUCUAAAUUUGGGAACUUAUAAAGUAAAACAAAUCUGUUUUAAUUUUUUGUAAAAUAAUUUUCUGGAAGCGCUGGGCGCAUCUACCAGCCUGCGCAUCUGUGAGGGCCCACAGCUACUGCCAUGCCGGAAAUCCCACCUCCGCCCCUGUUUAUGUAUUAAUUCCAGAUUUCUGAUUAUUAAAUUUAUAUACUAUAAUAUAUUAUUAUUUUUUACAAACUAAAAAUUAUAUAAUUUAGGAUGUACAUAGAUUACAACUAAAAUUUAGAUUAUUAAAUUUCCAGUGUAAAUAAUAUAUUCAGUAUUUUAAAUUAUGUACAAUAUGUUUUAGGGACAUGUUAUUGUAAAAUAUCAAUCUAAAUAUUAUGAACAUAAUAAAGUAAUUUGAAUUUAAUUUAUUGCAUCUUAUGAUGUACUAUUAUGAAUAAAUAAUAUACAUAAUUAAUCUUUAGGUUGGUCAAUUCCUUACUAGCUGAGUAUCAUGUUGGAUUGGGUAAUUAUUAGGUUUCAUUUAGAUCCCAGGAUAACAAAAAUCUAGAAUUUUAUUUUAAAAUCUAUCGUGGCCAUAUUUUAGUAAAAUUAUAAUUCUUGGAAUUUAGAUUUUUUAGAAACUUUUCCAGUUCAAUUAGAUUUGUUUAAUGGGCCUGCUCCAAAGGUAAGUAAUAAUUCACAUUUCUAUUUAUUUGCUUCUAAAUAAAUAUUUAACUACAAAUUAGUUAUAAAUCGAAUAACAUCAUAGUUAUAAAUUUUAUGAAAUUAUGCUGUGAAUGGAAAAUAAAUUUGUAAAUUAAAAUAUUAUUUUUAUUUAGAAAUUUUUGAAUGUACGUAUUUGUUUCGAAUUAUAUAUGUGUGUGUGUAUGAAUAACAUCUCUAUGCUUUGAAUCUUUUGGCUCACAGCCUAAUUACAUAUGAAUCCUCCAAUUAGAGUUAUAUGUAGUUACUUUGAUUGUUUGAAAAUUUAUUAUUUGGAUCUUGCUGUAAUGUAUGAAUAUGAUAUUAUAGUCCACUUUGUAAGGUAUAAGUGCGAUAUUCUAGCUCAUUUCACUAGGAAUAAAUAUGAUUCUCUAGCCAGGCCGCAAGGUAUAAAUGUGAUCAAAGUUUCCUAGUUGUUGAACUGAAUUAUAGCAUUUUAAAUUAUUCUUAUGAAUAUAAAUAUGAACAUAAAUAUGUAUAUGAAUAAAUAUGAAUGUGAAUGUAAAUAUGAAUAUGAAUCUAAAUACUUGGGCAAGCAUGAAUAUUAUUGAUAAUAAAAAUUAUUUUAUUAAAAUAUAAUGAGUUUGCAUAGAUAUAUAUACUUAGCAUUAAUAUGAAAAAUUUAUUUAAAUAUCACUUGAAGUAUCUAGAUAAAGUAUACAUUACUUACUAAGCUGUUCAGCUUAUUAGUUGAUCUUUUUUUUCUUUAUUGAUUGAAAGAAUUAAUUGUUGAUAGGGACCAUAGGACAGUGUAACUAGAUAUAAGAGCAAAAUUUUCAAUAUAAUCUGGAACCAGUUUUUGUAUUCUUAGAGUAAUUAUUACAUGUACUUUAUAGGUUUUCUUUCUUUGAGUGAGCAAUUGAAGAACAUUUCACACUAGAUUCUUGUGAACAAAAUUCUUGAGGUUUCUCAAUAGUUUUGAAUUUGUUAAUUAUUAAAUUUAAUAUUUUAAUUGUUCUCGUUUUAUUCUGCUAUCUUAUUUAUUUUAUUAUAAAAUCUUUCAAAUGCCUGGCAUACUUGUGGGGUAAUGCCCUAUGAGUACGUAGCAAUUAGCAUAUUCCUAACUUGCAAUUUCUGGUUAGGGGCUUAACAUACAGAGAUAAGAUUAGUUAGAGAUAUUUGGAAAUAUAGUUACCAAGAUAUAUGAACUGGGAGUAUUUUUGGGAUGUAAAAGUAAGGAAAUCAAGCCACUUUGUAAAAUGCUAGUAAUAAUAAACGUGCAAAUAUAAAUACAUGCUAACGAUUUUAGAUAUAGGAUAAUUUAACUAAAAUAUUAAUUGUAAAAACUUGUUAUAAUGCAUUAUAUUUUAGCUUCCAUUCUUGAAUCAAAAUGAUCUCCCAUCCUUCUCCCUGAAAUUUCUGGAAAUCCAGAUACUGGUAUAUCUUUUUUGUAAUUGUUUGAAUAAUCUCUCGGUUGUAAGAUCAGGCUUUCAAUCAAAGUCCAAUUGUAGUAUUCCUUAUUAAAUCAGGUUUCUCCCAAUGCCAAAAAAUUGGUAACAAAAAUAUCCAAAUUGAUGUUUCCUGAUACUUGGAUUUGUCCAAGAAAGCUCAGAACCACCAGAAAUAGCCGAGGCUCAAGGGUCCAAUUGGUUGCCAACCGCCCAGAGUAGCUGGGAAAUAGUGUAGAUGCAACCUUGGAAGGGAGGCUAAGACGCUGCUGUCAUUAUUAAAUUGGUGCUAAAUUUCUAGACAUUCAAAAGAGCUUUUCACGACAAAUAUCCUAAGGAUGAAGUUUGUAAAGAAACGGUUCCAGGGGCGAAGUUUGUAGAGAAGAUUGCCCUGUGCAUGCCUGCAACUUGCUCGGUUCAUUAGCUACAUGUAUGAGUCGAGUCCUAUAUCAGUUUCUUUCUAGGAGUUUCUUCGUUAAAAACUUGCUAUAUAUAAUCCUACCAAUUGAACUGGGGAUCAUAGAUAUUUAGGUCCCUUGCCCAUUCCCGGCUUUGCAUUCCAGAAUUGCAUGGCUGUGUAAGAUGAGGUUCUAAAGUUUCCUCUAUGCUCUCACCAUGGGACCAAGAACCAUCUCCAUGAUAAUAUCUCCCAGGUUGGAUCAAGGAUGGUUGCUGCUCUCCCCUUGAAAACCUGGAUGGAGCAGUUGGAAACAUCAGAUUGUUGUUCUGCUCAGCUCCAUAUUGCACUGGAGUAACUGGGGAAGCCAUAGACAUCAAGGUACUCAUGCUAGUUUGUUGAUGAUGGGUUGUGAUUCUUGUGGAGUUGACUCCAUCAGAACCAAGCUCAUGCUGGAAGUAAGACUCAAAAAACUACGAUAAGAAAUUUUAGAUGAAUACUGAUAAAAUUCAUCAAGUAUCAAAAAUUAUGCUUUCUAUUGACUAAAAUGCUGUGAAAUGUUAAAAGGCUUUAUCUAAGUCAAGAAGAAGUAUAGAUAGAGUAACAUUUAAACCCCUAAAAAGUGAUGCUGUCAAAGAAAUAGGCGCAGGAACAAGACCAAAGAGAAAAAAGAAACAAAAUGGAAAGACAGAAUGCCACUAAAGCACAAUGACAUGGCCUUCGGGUCCCCGAUCAGUCAUUGAUGUGCAAACAGAAAAAGGUAAAUGGGAUUUUUUUUUCUAAAAAGAAAGGAUAUUUAACUUACUAUACUCUAUGCAAUAAACUAAUCCCGAAUACAGAAAAGAAAAAUCUAUGACUGGACUUAUUUAUGCAAGUUUUUUAUGCAAAGUUAAUGCCACAGUCUGGUUAAAUGAAAGAAAAUUUAAAGGUAUUCAUCUGCAGAUGGUAAAGAGUUCACUUUGCACAUAUUUCGAUUGCGAUAUGUAGCUGAUGGAUCCCAGAUAACUGCUUGGACAAAUCUGGACCCUCCAUCUAUUUUCCUGACUGUGAAACUCAUGGAUCUCAUCCAUCCAUUGGCCACAUAUUGCACAAUGCGAUCCCUUUGUUUUCAGAGGACCCAUCUCUAACUACAUAACAUGAAUCUCUGAUUUUUGCCUGUGGUCUAUGUUUACCAUGAGCAAAUGUGAACAAAACUCUAAAUCUCAGUAGUGGAGGAUAUUGUAAGAAGAACCGCCACUUAGAUGAGCACAAGAAACCACACAUAGAAAUGUUGCUGAUAAAAUUAUAUACCUGAGUUGUGACAAUGAUCUGCUGUAUUACUCUAUGUCGUCCGGUACAAAGCGUAUCAUAUCGUAUUGAUCUCAUAUCAAUAUCCUGUUUUUUACUAUAUUGAACUACAUACUGAUACUAUAAUAGGAUGGUACCGAUAUGAAGAUUGAUAUGAAACAGUGAACAUUGAUUGUGACCACAGAAUCGGUCCAAGGAUACGUAGAAGAGAGAGUUGUAGGAAAAGAGAAAGAUUUAACUAUCAAUAUGACUAACUUUCUGUUUACCAUCCUUCAACUAAAUUAUAUGUAGGACUUGAGAAGGCUGGCGUCACUGGACAAAGGGUACAGAAGGCAGUGUAGAUACCUAAAUUCAAGUUGCUACGUAAAAUAUCAAUAUAUAUGAAAUUGUAAUCCACGGAGAAAGAAGCAGAUAAAGAAUCUUAUCUUAACAAAAUCUUGGUGAUCUCCGACACUGCCUCGUGGCCAGAGGGCCCACUAUCUCGGACCUGAAUCUCCUGCAGAUCUCAACAAAAUCAUUUUGGAUUCCCACGAUCAUCAGAAACUCUAAGACCUUUGACCAAUCCAAACCCUCGGAGACCGCCAAAUUAAACUGGUGAUCGCUAAUCAAGACGGAGGAGCUGCUGACCUUAGUGUGCUCCAAGAGAACUUAUUUGAUGCCUAGGGUUUUCUGGAUCAAUUGAAGGGUCUUGUUCUCAUCUUCCACCUUCUCCCAUGUUCACUGCCUUGUCCUUGUUAGCACCUCCACUGUCACCAUUGCCGCGGUUGCCGUGACAAAGGUCGAGCCUCAGGUAGUUGGUGAGAGACCUAACGAGCCCCUGAUAUUGCUGUGCUCUUCUCCGCCUCUUUGGAAGUGACAACACUACUACCGUCGAAGCCUUUCAUGGGAUGUCUUUGCCACCGGCAAGGAGGAGGGAGUGAGUGAUGUUGAGGAUUUGGAAGAGGUUAGGGUUUGAGGAUCGGGGAGGGAGGAGAGAGAGGAUGUCGAUGGUGGUGGUGGGACGAUGGGGGAUGGAGGUAGACUGGAGUGGUCCAGCAAGAGGCAACUAGCUCAGCCAAAUCACACCACCAUAAACCCACCAUCUUCGAUCCACAACUAGCUUAGCCGGGCCCAUUGCGACCCUCCUCCUUUCUCUCCUUCCAUCCUCAUUCCCCCCUGUCUCCCAUCCCCAAUGCGCACCUCCAACCCACACGUAAUACCCUCUUCUCUGCCACCUCUUCCAGCAAUAAGGUUGAGAGGAUUGAGUUCCCAACACUUGGGAGAGUGACUUAAUGUCUAUACUUAGAGUGCAUCGAGCAACUGGUAAGCGGGAUACAGACUCUCGACGAUGGCAUGAGGGUUGGCUGGAGGGUGCUGGGGAGGGAGAUCAGUGCAGAAAAGGGGGUGGGAAGAGUGGAGCUCAUGAGGCCAUGCUGAGUGGAGGAUAGCGGAGGGGAGGAGCGGAGACGGCCGAGGCUCGAAAGAAAGAGACAGGAACAAGAAGAGCAAAAAUAAAAAAUUUAUCUUUUCUUUUUUUGCCUUCAUCAAGGUAGGAUAGCAGUGCGAGGGCGGAGCUAGAUGGCGAUGGUGCCGGACUUUGCGCUUUGAUUGCAUUUGGCAGCUGAAAAUCUAUACAAAUUAUUGAUAAUUUAAUAUAAUAAUUAAAAUUAUUAUAUUUGAUAUAUUUUUUAAAUAAUAAUUUAGAUUGUUUUAACGAUUCAAAUUAUCUCAUGAAAAAUAAUCUUGAUUAUUUUAGAGAGAGAUGACUAUUCAAAUUAUCACUUCUUCGAUAAUAUUGUAAUAAAAAUUUUAGAUAAAAUUAUCUUUAAAAAAAUCACAUAAAACUUAUUGUCCAACCCUUACCCCUCUCACCCAUCUCCUCAACGUGUUCCUCCAAUCCGCUGCUCCUUUAUCUCACUUUGUCUGUCUGUGCCUCUUUUGCUUUUGUUCCUUACCAUUCUCCUCGUGGCUCCUCCACACCCAUCCCCACCACUCCCAUGGCUUCACAUGCGUCUGCCCCUCACGUGCCUGCAAUUUUCCACACCUCUCGAUCCGCUACUACUCUGCACUACCACCACACUCACAUCACUCCCAUUACUUUUUAUCAGAAAAAAAGAGCACCAAGGUAAAAUUAUUGAAGAUAUUUUAAAAAUUUAUUUUCACAUUAUCAAUAAUAUGAUUGUCAUAUGAAACAUGUCAAUCAAGAUUUUCAGUAAUUUUACUACAAUAUUAUCUAUAUGUACUAAACAUAGUAAUCAAUAUUACUGAUAAUUUAAUGAUGAUAAUCUAUUUAAGGCAAUCCAUAUUACCUUUCAAGAUUGCUUGACGAUGCACCAAAUACAAUUUUAGAUCCGUUUGAUUGGAGAUAAAAUGAAUUCCAAUAGGUUAUCAUAUUUGACUAGUACAUAACCCGCUUCAAGGCAGAUGUUAAGUGAAAUCAAAAAAUUAAAAUAUUUUAUUAAUAUAUAAUUUUUUUAUAUAAUAAAAUGUAUAAUUUUUUUAUUAACUAAUAAAUUUAUAUCCAUACUAAUCUACCAAAAGAUGGCAUCUCCAUUUAAAUUAAAAAUAUAAAUAUCAAAAAUAUUAUAAAAUAUUUUUAAAUUAAAAAUAUUUUUGAUAAGAACUAAUUGAAAAAAUAAAUAAUAAUAAUUGAAACUAAAUUAUCUUCGAUAAUUUUUUUUUUAUAUUUAUUUUAUUAUUUUGAAUUCACGUCAUAAAUAAAAUCUAAUGACAUUCCUUUCGAACCAUCAAAAGCUGGAAUAGGAGUCUUGAGUACAAAAUUCCUGAGUACAAAAUAUAUAAUUUUUUUUAUUAUAAAAUAUAAAUAUAUAAACAAUAUAAAUAUAUCAAUGUUAUAAAAAAUAUUUAAUAAAAUAAAAAAUAAAAUAUUUAUAUUAAUUUUUUAUAUAAAUAAAAAAUAUAAAAUCAUUCUACUUUAAUUUUUUCAAUAUCAAUCUAAUCUUGAACUAGCCCCUAAUUAAAUCAAUAAUAUACCCAAAUUGGAUUCGAAAAAGUAAACAAACUCCAUAUUUUAAUCCAAACUUAGUUAUUGAUUUGUUGAGCCUAUUUUGUAGAAUAAUAGUAAAUAGAUCAAGUCCAAUAUAUUUUGACCAAAUCAAGCUCAUAAGCAGAUUAUUUAUUAUUAAAUUAUAAAAUCAAUCAAUAAAUAUAAUCUAUAAUUUUAUUUUUUUUAAUUAUCAUUUUUAAACUAAAUAUAUGUGUAUAUAUAUAUUUCAUAAAACCAAAAUGAUCAAUUUUAUUUAUAUAGAUUUUUUGAUAUUUUUGGAUCAUAUAUAAUAAAUAUAAGUAUUUCUAUAUGUUUCAAUAUAGAAUUCUAAAUUUAAUCUUAAAAAACAAAAAACUCUUUUUUUAAUGAAUUAGAGUCAUCUAAUUAAUGCAAUCCAUUUUACUUUUUUAAUUUUCUAAUACUUUUUUAUUCAUAUAUAAUAAAAAAAUAUUUUAUAUAUUUGUAUAUAAAUUCUUAAAAGUUAUCUAAAAAAUUAUGUUAAAAUACAACAUAUAGAUCUAAAAAUCCAAUGGUCCAAUCUUGCAUCUAAUGCUUGCUCAGUGAAGGUAGCCUGAUGAUUUUUUUUUGAUUAUUCAAUCUAUUUCAAAUUUUAUUAAGAUCUAUUAAGUGAUAUUUUAUAUGAUUUAAAAUUAUUCUCGUGAAUCAAAAACAUCACCAUUAAAAGGAUGAGAGGAUUUGGUUACCCCUAAUAUUUAGAUAAUUUUUAGCCACUCCAAAGAGGAUUUGACCCCUAAUCUUUGGAUAAUAUUCAGCUGCUCCAAACCUCCUACCCGAUUGAGACUCUGAGAAUAAAAAAAGAAAGGAGAUAUCCAACACAAAACCUCAGCUCUUGAAGUUUCUCUUUUCGGCCACUCCAAACUUCCCACUCGCUUGAGAUUCAUGAGGAAGGAAAAAAAUUGAGGAAAAUUGGGGGAAAACAUAGAAAAAAUCCAUGAAAACAUAGUAAAGACGGAGAACAUCGGAAGGUAAGGCCUUUCUGACAUAGACUUAUCAAUUUUUUUUUCUGUUCAUUUCUUUUUCUUUUUCUUUUCAUUUCAUUCUCUUUUUCGGAGAUCUAUGGGGAAGAAGAGCACCUGGGGGAGAUCAGAGGAGUUUCGAUCAUAGGUUCUGAUUGGGUUUUCUUCUCAAGCAUAAGAGAUUUUAUGUGAGUUGCGGUGAUGUGAGUUGGUCCCUUAAGGUUUUGAGAGCUUAAUCUUGGUAGAAGCAUGAUAUUUUGUAUGAUUUAUGAGAUUUUGAUCAAGAAGAGGAAUGGAGAGGCUACAAAAAAGUAGAGGUGCAUCCUCUUGGUGCAAUAGACACAAAAAAAAAAAAAAAAAUCGAAGGGAAGAAGAGGAUUUGAUCAAUUUCUUUUUUGAGAGGAGGAUUAUCGAUACGUACUGUGGCUCGACAUGUGGCUCAUUACUCAUUAGUGAUGACAAUGGUGUAGAUUGGCAAGGAGGCGGCGAGGAGAGCAGAGAAGAGUGGGCAUCCGCAAAGGAUCGGGAAGGAUUCGAAAGAAAAAAAAAAGGUGCUAUAACAAUUUGGGAAGAAUUUGAAGGAAAAAAGACUACUGCAGCUCAUGGCUUCGCAUGACUUCAACUUUAAUAAUAUAUAUAUAUAUAUAGGAAAUAUAUCAAGUAAGAGGAAUGACUUAAUAUGAGAGAUGAGAGAAUAUAAUAAUAAUUUUUGGAUCCAUAUCAACGGUUCAGAUGAGAAUGCGAUUAUCUAAACUAUCCAAAUAUUCUCAAAAUUUAUUCAUUUUUUUUAGUUUUUUUAACGGGCGCAUGUUAGUGUGUGUGAUGCUCAUCUGAAUCAUUGAUGUGGAUCCAAAGGUUAUUAUUAUAUUCUCUCACUUUUUCACAUUAAGCUAUUCUUUUCACUAGAUACACUAUAUAUACACACACGCGCGCACGCAAGAAAAAUAAAAAAAUGAUAAAAAAAAUUAAUGAACCUCAUAUUUUAUUUUAAAAAAUAAAAUAAAUAUCAUAAAAAAAUUAGAGUUUGAUAAAUCUUCAGAUAAUAAUAAUUAUACUCGAUAAAAAUAAUAUUAUGAAAAAAAUUAUAUAAUUAUAAUUAUUAUAUAAAAAUUAAUUAGAGAUAAUAAUAUUAUUUUAAUAUAAAAAUUAUUUUAUAUUGAAAGAUAUAUUAAUUUAUUUUGUCAUAUUUAUAUAUAAAAUUAUCUCAACCAAAUACAGCAAUUUUUUUUGGAUAUAAUUUUUUAAAAUAAUUUUUAUAUCAAUCAAAUAUCAUAAAAAAUUAUUUUCUUCAUAACUAUUUUUUUAAAUAAAUAAUUUUUAUAAAUUAUCAAAUUAUUUCGUAAUUUGAUACAUCCCAACGAAAUGGGUCCUUUUCCGUAUUUUUUAUUUUGAAAAAAAAAAUCCUUAUCUUGCAAAAUCGGCGAACAGCAGUUGGUGGUGUUAUAGAGAGAGAGAGAGAGAGAGAGAGAGAGAGAAAAGCGGCCUAACAAAGUCCAUCACGGGAUGGAUGUACAGCAGUCCAAUCACCACACUGUCUGAGACCACUUAAUUAAGUUGUUCCACGGAGUAGCGUAACAGGGUCAUUAAGUACUCCUGACAACCCUACUUCUUUCCCAGCGUUAGGGUUUUUGCCUCUGCUUCCCUCCAUCGCCGCCUUCCCCUUUCCUCCUUCCCACCGGCGAAGAGAAGAAACCCUUGUCGCCAUGGUGGGUCCAUGUCGCAAAUCUCAUCUAUUCCCUUCUUUUAUAUACCUUGAAUCGCUCGUUUCCCUUGAAUUUCAGUGUUUUUUGCAUUAUUUUUGGAUAAAUUUUUGUGGGGAUUUUUGGAUCGCAGUCUCUGAUCGCGAACGAGGAUUUCCAGCACAUCCUUCGUGUGCUUAACACGAACGUGGAUGGCAAACAGAAGAUCAUGUUUGCCCUUACCUCCAUCAAGGGUAUCGGCCGCCGCUUCGCCAACAUCGUCUGCAAGAAGGCCGACGUCGACAUGAACAAGAGGUGCCCUGCCGCCUUCCCUUCUUUUUGAUCCCUUUUUGUAUAAGUAAUUUGUUUGGGACUAAACCAGUUCCUUUGGUUAGGAUUUUAUUUUCUGAGUUGCGAGAGUUUUAUUUGAUUUAGAUGGUUUUUUUAAACGAAGUUUUUGGGGUCGGUGAACUGUAUUUAAUGGCUUUAAUAUAACACGUUGGUAUUUGAAUUUGAUUGUUGCUUUUACUGGUCUCAAGAUCGGAUUUUUUUUUUCUUUGUGCUUCAUAUUGGAUUAUGAAAGCAUUUUGCUGCGUAUACUUNNNNNNNNNNNNNNNNNNNNAUUUGAUUUAGAUUGGUUUUUUUAAACGAAGUUUUUGGGGUCGGUGAACUGUAUUUAAUGGCUUUGAUAUAACGCGUUGGUAUUUGAAUUUGAUUGUUGCUUUUACUGGUCUCAAGAUCGGAUUUUUUUUUCUUUGUGCUUCAUAUUGGAUUAUGAAAGCAUUUUGCUGCGAUACUUUUGAUUUUCUUAUAUUUUGGAAGCUUUCGGUAUUUUAGGCUUUUAAUUUGUUUGAUGGAUUAUGAAGUGGAGGUCUUGUCUCUUUACGGGCUGCUCUCUCUGUUUUUUUAGACAUUUUAACUUGUUUUUUUUUUUUGCCUCCAGCAUGUAAACAUCAGGGUUGUAAUUCCACUUGUAUGAAUUUUUGAAUUUUUGCAUUCUUUACGACAAGUGGAUUUGCUUUGGACUGUUUGGCUGUAACAUUUAUUUCUUCCCGUUUGGUAUUUUUUCUUUAUUAGGAUCAUAUUCGAAGUAUAAAAGAUUUUAUUCAUGCGAUGGAUUAUUUUUUUUGUGUGCUGUUUUUUUUAAAAGAUAUCUUUUGAGUUUUGCUUUGUAUCUUAUUUUAGGGUUUUGUUUGGAAAAUCAAAGUCAUAAUUUUAAUCCAUGCUUUGAACCUUUGAUGAUUUUAUGACUCUCAUUUGCCUGGUUCGUUCAAAUUGUAAUUUGUUAAGGUAGAGCAUUGGACUCCGACACAUGGGAAGCCAUGAAUUUUUAUUCAUGAAUUCUUGUCUUCUUGGCUUUUUUUAGUUUGAAUAAAGAUAUGUGCUAUUAUACAUAGGCAUUCUUCUUCCACCUCCAUUAAAGAAAAGUUAGCAAUUGUGCUACAAUGUUCUCCAUAUUGAUCCAUACCUUGUGGCUCUCCGAUAGUCUUUCAUUUCUUCAAUUGAUAAUAUUUGGCCAAAUGUUUACUUAGGGCUGGGGAGCUCUCAGCCGCAGAGCUUGAGAACCUCAUGACAGUUGUAGCAAAUCCCCGUCAGUUCAAGAUCCCAGAUUGGUUUCUGAACAGAAAGAAGGACUAUAAGGACGGUAGAUACUCACAGGUGGUUUCAAAUGCGCUGGACAUGAAGCUGAGGGAUGACCUUGAGCGCCUGAAGAAGAUCAGGUGGGUAACUAUUGAAAUCUUUUAGUUGAUGUUGCUGCAAGCUUAUGUACUGCUUAUAUAUGCUUUUGUUUCUUGUUUUUUAUUGCUUCCAUUAAUUUAUGAAAUUUUGAUGUAUCAACAAUGUCUCGCACUUCCUAGUCUUUUGAAAAGCUUGUAGCAUCUCAAAAAUCUAGCGUCAACAUUUUAGAAUUUUGUUCUCCCUUAGACUAGUCUUUUGCGUAGAACGUGAAUAUCUCAUAUUUGCUUUUACGCUCGAAAUAACUAAGAAAAACUUAGCUGUUGACCUUAUGUUUUUUUUUUGGGUGGUUUCACUGAGGCUUUUGCAUGAGAUUUUAUGUUUAACAUGUGGCUAGUAUAUAUAGAAUUUUCUAGUGGCUUGAGAUGCAGCAGAGAUGAGUAUUAACAAUUUGAUGGAUUUCAGGGAUUUUAUCAUCACGCAUUUGCAUGUUAUGGCACUAUUAUUCUAUUAGACAACUGUUCUGUCUGAUCCUUACCUUAUAUAGUUUUGUUGAUUCUUUGCUUCGAACAAAUCUGCACUGGAGUUCAUAAUUUAGAAUCAUUUUUUAUUGCCUGUACGAUAGAUGAAAGUUGUGGAGCUUAAAACUUGAGACUUGGAUGAGGAAACCAGACCAUGAGUAUGAGGAAAUUUGAACAAAUAGGAUUUUGCAAUUUCUAGAUAUCCAUGUUUUAUUAGUCCUUGAAAUUUUAGGUGCCAUGUAAUAACCUGCAUUUUUAUGUUUAGUUGUUUUUGGGGGACAUCAAUUUUUUGCUUAAGAUUGGGACUUCUUUUAUGGCAUGGCAAUGGCUAAUUUUGAAGUUUCCUCAUUCUGAUCUUUCCCUAUUUGUUGAUGUCAUGAUCUUUUGUAAAUUAGAAAACCUGCACCUCUUAGACAGAUUUGGCCUUUGACAUGGAGUGAUUGUGAGGCAAGAUCUAUUUCAAGACGGGGAACUAUAAGUGAAAUAAAAAGAAGUGGUGUGGAUGAAUUCUAGGUCUUCUAGAUUUUAGAACACGUGCUAACUGCUUUGAACGAUCUCAGAUGUCUGAAGAAAAGAUUAUAAGUAAUGUGGGGUUGGGGGGAGGAGCAGCAAGUGGAGGGAGGUGAGUGUUUUUGAAAUAUAGUUUGUGGUAGAUGAUUGCCAAAUUAAGAGUAUUAUGGUCGGUUAAUGCUUUUGUCAAGAUAUAGGUGUUGAUGGUGCUUGGACGUAGAUCUGUGAGGACAUGGUGAUUUAUAGCGUACAUUGCUGCACAGAAGUUGCAUCAUCGAACACCUCUCAUAAAACAUUUUCAAGCAAAAAAGAAUGCAAUGCCAGAUAUUGCUUUAUUUUUCAUUUGGCAGAAAUUGCAAAAUAUUCAUCAGAUUUUUAUUAAUAAUUUGUGUUGCAUGUGCCUGUGCAUGAAGUUUUCAUGGGAUACAUUUGUUUGUUGCUGCAGGAACCACCGUGGUCUACGUCACUAUUGGGGUCUUCGAGUUCGCGGUCAACACACCAAGACUACUGGAAGGAGGGGAAAGACUGUUGGUGUUUCAAAAAAGCGAUGAAGCCUCUCUCCACACCUGUAUGCGUUGUUUUUUGGGAUUUCAACGUCCAAGCAGAUAUUAGAAUUCUAUUCUCUAUCAAAGGCUGAACUUUCGAGGGUUUUCAAGCAGGUUUUUUUUUAGUUACAAUCUUGGUAAUUUCUGGGACUUCGAUGUGUUUUUUCUGUUGUGGUGUUGUGAGCUAAGUUUGCUGCUCAUUUUUAAUGUCCAACAGUCUUGGUGAGCUCAUAAGGUUUUAAUUCCAUUUUGGAAGCUUGUUUUGCUAAGCAUUGGUUCUGGACAAGUUGACAAUGUUAGCCACUGAGUAGCUUGUUUCCAGUGAAUCAUGUUAUGAUAGGUUUGGUGGAACAAAAGUUCUUAUUUGAUGUGAUUAUGACCAUUUGCUUCUGGCGCACGGAGAGGAAGGAACCAUUUGGGCUCAAAUUGGUUGAGGUUGAGGCUAUAAUGCUUUCUCCAUCAAAUUUCUGAAGUUUGUUUAUAUUGAGACCAAAUGGCUGAAGUUUGUUUAUAUUGCUCAGGAAUAGAGAUUCGUUAUAAUUAUGAUGAUUGUGAUUAGUCUACUUUAUUCAUGAUGAUCGUUGGGAUUGGGAUAAUCUAGUUGAUAGAAAAAUAUUUUUCUUACACCAAAGCGGUGUUUUCAUGGGGAGGUGGCUGUUGUCUACCCGAACAUAGGUUGUACUAACAGAAUCAAAAGUGAUACUGGUCCGCCUGCUUUAAAGCGUUUGUUUGCGGUGAUUGAUGAAGCAUUAAAGUCACGGUGGCUGAUGCGCACUCACCAUCAAACAAGGGACUCCAUUCUUUUCAGUGAGGGGGAACCUUAUUUAUAUGCAGGGGAAGAAAAUUUGUAUGAUUGGAAACGAACAAGGUGUUUUACGUCCAGAGUCGGUUUCAAUUAAAUAGAUAGAAUGGCAAGCUUCAUUACCAUAAGAUAAAUCUCAUCGGUUCCACUCUUUUUAAUGCACAAAUGGCUUAAAAACUGUCCGUCAUUCGUCAACCCAAGGAUUUAUUUCCAGCUGGUUAAAGGGGUAUGGAUCACCUCAUCGUCAACCCAAGGAGAAAGAAUCUCUUUAUUUCCAGCUGGUUAAAGGGGUAUGGAUCACCUCACCUGCUGCCACGGGGUCUGUUAGGUUACUGCGGGUUGUACAUACAGAAGGGCAAUUUAAUUGUUAGAAAAAAAAAAAAAUCCAUUUGAAGGGCUAUCCAGUUGUUUACGGGGUUCUUUCAAAGUUUGAAACCGUAAGCUAAGCUACCUAAAUGGAUGUUUUGAAAAGUAAUAAUGAAGCUAAUGAUAAUUUUGUAGCUAAACAAGUUUACUGAAGCAAUCUUCACUUUUGCAAAUCAAAGGUUUGUUGUAAUGGCAGGUUCCUAAAUGGCGAGGAGUUUGAUGAUUAGGAAAUAUCACUAUACAAUCAUUUUAAAACCACUCUAACAUCAAAAUUUUUUUUGAUUAGAUUAUUUUUUUAGUCUAAUAUUACUUAUAUUUUUAAUUUCAAAAAAGUAUCGAGUUAGUUUUUUUAAUUUUUAAGAUAUUUUAAUAUUAUCAUUUUAUUGGAAAAAAAAUUUACAAUCUUAAAACAAAUAUGUGCUCUAUUAAGAUAGACUAAGUUAGUAUAUAGUAGAAGCAAUAGAUCAAAAAUGGAUCAAAAUAAAAAAUAUGUUGAAAUAAAUAAGAGCAAAAUGAAAAUAAGUAAGAAUAUACAUAAAUAUAAAAUUUAUAGUUGUUCGAUAUUAAAUCCAACAUCUAUGUUUGCUCCCAAAAUCCUUCUACUUGAGAAGUCCACUAUAAUCCUCUUGAUUACGGUAUAAUUGUUUUAAUCAGGCUCUCAUCAAUCCUAUCGAUUAUUUUAGUAGGUUCGUAACUAAUCUCGUUAAUUUAACAUAGAAAAUCAACCAAAACGUUUCCAACUAAGUUAUUCUUAGACUUAGCCUAUACAAUAUCCAAUUAUAGGUUUGGACAAGUCUAUUUCACAGGUUUGUAUCCUAAAAAACUUGUAAAAAAAUAAGAUAUACUAUGAAAAUCACAAAGAAUAAUUAAGAGCACAAGGAAAAUAAAACUCUUUGGAGCUUAGUUGAAGUUGAUGAUAAAUACUUUUUAAAGCUCGGACUUUUUCACUAGAAUGAAUGAGAGGCUAUAUUUUGAUUUACUAUGGGUGAUUUUUUGGAAGCUCACUCAAUUGAUUGCAUUUGAUUUUUUUUUUUUUACUUGCUCAAAAAUAUUCAAUGUCCUCACUAAGAACUUGGAUUUUUCUCUUUUGUUCCCUUUUAGAUUUAUUUCCUCAAUAGAUUUCAUUUCUUAAAUAUACUUAAAUUUGGUUGGAGAAAGAAUACCAGCUAUUUGAGAGGUCAAACUAACUAUAAGAAGUCAAAUUUGCCCAUCGGAAGUUUGCGGAAAAACUAGUGGUUAGAUUGUUAUCGCAAUCGAGUCAACUCGUGCAGACUUAAAGCUGAUUCGUGCAAAUUUAGAGUCGAUUUGAGAACAGUAGGAGUUGGCUCAAAGCUAGUGCAGAAAAAUCUAUUCUUUAUUUUUCUUAAGUCAUACUUGGAGUUGACUUGAUGUAUGUACUACUUAAAAAAUAUUUUUAAAAUACUUCAAAUAUUUUUCUAACUUGAUUUUUUUCAAGUCAAGAGAUACCAUCCCAAACAUAUAUAAUUUAUUUUGAAAACCUUUUUGAUUUGGCUGAGAAGAUUUUUUUUUUGACAUGUAUGUGAAUACCUAAAAAAUCUUACACUUAUUUUUAUAAUAUAUAAUUAAUAUUAUUUGUAAUUAAUAUUUUGUUAUCAUUAAAAUUAAUCUUGGAACGAACAAUCUAAUUUAGUCAAGCAACCAAGCUUCCACCCAAUUUCAAUGGAAGUACUUUGACCCAUACCCAAUCCAAUCUCUCUAUGCUCCUGGUGCAACCAGACUAUAACUACAGAUUGGGUUGGAUCAGACUUGGAUUAAACCAGCUCCAAUUGGAGUUCCAUAGGAAGCAUAUUUCUAACUGCGCCUCUGAUCAAUGUAAACCAACGAAGUAAUAACAAAAAAAUUACGAAAAAAAAAAACGAAUCUCUAUCUCUUCCCAGAACGCCUCCUCUCCUGAUCUUCCGCUAUGGAACCCUAAUCCUCCGUCCCCGGACCUUAUUCCCUAACCCUAACGCUGUCCCCCAAUCCAAAAUCCUAAAACCCCCAAUGAAAAACCCCAAGCCUACUGGCGGUAAGGGUUCCUCCCUCAAGGGCCCCUCUUCCUCCUCCUCCGCCAGCGGCGGCCGCAAAUCCCGAUGGGAGUCCACCGACAACCCUCCUUCCGACCACCCUGCCCCUCUCGAUCCCAAACAUUCCAAGUCCAAAGACGACCCCGCCGGCCCCUCCGCCGCCUCCCCAUCCCUACCCCCCAAGGACCACCCGCCCGUCUCCGGCCCACUCCGCCCUCCCCCCGGUGGUGGGCUCCUCAUCCCGCACCCCGACCCCGCCGCCGCGCUGCCGCCGUCCCCGCCUCCCUACGGCUUCCAUAACCUCGAGCGCCGCACCAUCGUUCUCGCCGACGGCAGCGUCCGGUCCUACUUCGCCCUCCCUCCCGACCUGCCGGCAGACCUCGCCGCCGACAAGAUGUUCCCAUACGGCCACGGUGGCCGCCCUGGGUUCGGGCACGGGCCAGAGCCCGGACUAGGGUUAGGGUUCGACAAGCGCUUCCCGCCAACCGGUGGGAGGUUCAGCCCCGAGGACUUCCGGGAGCCACCGUAUGGCCGUGGCCCGGGCGCCCAGCACGACUACUGGGCUUCCCUCGGGCUUGAUGGCCCUCGGGUCCCCCUGGAAGGGGCACCGUCCUCACUGAAGAGGAAAUUCGGGGAAGAGGAUGACUUCGCAUGGCACCGGCAGCAUGUGAUGCAUUAUGGAAACGCCAAUGCCAACGCUAGUGGGUUCCCUUCGGGAUCUGGUGAUCGGCCAGACUACUUGCGCAGGACUGGCAGCCCACUACGUCAGGAUUAUCAUGAUGAUCUAAGGUCACCGAAGCAAAUAAAGCUUGGAGGGGAAGGCUAUCAGGACUUGCCCUCGAGGAGGACUCUGCCUGAUGAUGUGCCUGCUGCGGCCGUGGAUGUGGAUCCACAGGCUUUGAAGAAAGCGUUCCUCAGGAUCUCAAAGACAAUCAAUGAGAGUUUUACCCAGAGGAAGAAUUAUUUGGAGGAUGGAAAAAAUGGGCCUUUGCAGUGCAUUGUUUGUGGCAGGUUUGAUUAAAUUGGAAAGCUUAAAUUAUUUUAGUUCCAUUGAUUAUCUAAUGCAAUUACUAUGGCAUGCUUUUGAUGGAUUUAUAUUUUUGCCUUUAUGUUUCACAAGUUUUUCUUUAAGGUUAACUAGAGCUCAUGUAUAAGUUUAUGUUUAUUUGGUUAUAGUCUGUAUUUUCUUCUGUUUUAUGUUUGAUGAUUGUAUUGGGACAAGCUCUUCUCUGUUCUCUUGAUUAUAGAUGCAAGAAACUCAAUGCGUUUCUGUUGGUUAUGUGUUGCUGCAAUAGGUUCAUGAGAUUAGUUCCUGUGUUUGGUUAUUGAAUCAUUAUUUUUUUGUGAUUACGAUCUUUCAGAGAGAAUCUUAAUGCCUUUAUAUUUGUUUUAUGUUGUUAGGUCCAUGAUAGUGGCUCCAUUAUGUUUAUGAUUAUUUAAUUGCUAUUUGAUUAUGAUCUCUUUCAUUCACAAUCAUCAUUUUUUUUCUUCUUUUGGGUCUACUUAUUAUUUGGUGAUUAGUCAUUCAUUUUUUAGAACUUUGGAUUUAAUUAUCGUUUUUGCUUUUAAUGGUUUGCAUGAAUAGUAUUAGUGUUUUGACGAAGGUCUUGAACUGGUAUGGGGUGUCGUACUAGUUGGCAAUCGGUUUGGUGCAGUAUUGGUUUCGUACCAUGCCUGCACAUGGUCCACAGUGGUAUAUUGAUUCCGUAUUGGUAAUGCCAUCUUCCUUUUUUUCUUAGUUUUUCAUUAUUUCUCUUUUUUUAAAAAAAAUAUUUUAGUGCUUGUUUUAAUGAUUGUGGUUGUUUAAUUUAGGAUUUCAAUAUUAUUUUGAUGUUUUUAUGUUAGUUUGAUCUCGAUUUUCACUAUAAUCAAUAAAUUAAUGUAAUUGUAAUAUAAUUGCAUGCAUGAUUACAUAUAAUUGAAUAUACAUAUGAUGCAUUAAAUGGAUUUCAAGUAUAAAAAAUAUGCAGACAUCUAAAAUUGUGGAGUGCUCGUCCCAUAUGGAUGUUUGGAUCUUGGUUAUAGUAUGAGCUUGGUAUAUUACUCCAACAUUCUAGAUAAUAUGCCACCCAUCCCUACGGUCUAUAAGCUCUAUCUUUUGGAUAGCUACUUUGAUACUGAUUCCCUUUCUAAAAUUGGAUUGGCCAUUUGAAGAUCGAGGUAAUGGAGUUCGACCUUUCAGUUGCAUGAGAUUCUGAUGGAUGGUAGCUACUUGAACGUAAUGCCUCAGAUGAGGGAUAUCCAUGCAAGUGGGUAUCCAGUGUAUGACUCAAAUUUAGAUAUGUUUUGGAUCCUACUUCACGUGCGAGGUCAUUUACAGUAGUAAUGCUAUGUUCUGAACCACCUUGAGAGGUUUUUCUCUUGUAUGUAAAUAUAUCCAUGUUAGCUUUAUUAAGUCAUACAUUGUCAUCCUUAUCCUAUGUGGCAUGAGUGAAUUGCGCCUCACUAGUAAAAUACCAUGGGGCCACCAAAUGCAUCAUUGCUAGAACUAUUGUUAUCCUUGUUGGUAUCGUGAGAUGAUUUGGGCAA